AUUCUCUAAAGCUCUCAGUCAGGGGUGUUCCUCGGUUUCGGAUGAAAUCGGGGCGGGUUGACAAUACUUCACACGCCUUGGGCGCGUUGUUGCAGUCUGUUAGAUUUGAAGAACUGCCGUGUUUCAUUCCUGAGGAAUUUUGUCUUUGCUCGGUGUAGUGCCUGUCCGUUGAGCCACACUUCUCAGUAAUAAUUCAAGCUCUGAAAAUUCCGAACUUGAUUCAGCAUUCGUCUCUUCCGUUUCCCCCCAAAUUUUAAACUUGCUGUGGUGGUCUACUUUCCUUGGUUGAUGCCUGAAUUGGGUCCUCGAUUGGGCUAUAAUAUAUACAUCUGGAACUGCAAUGAACGGCUGACUGGUUGGCCACGUUGAAAAGCGUAGUGCUAGUGUGCGGCAGAUCGGCUGGCCACGUGGCAGAAGCGGAGAUUUACGUUUGUGCCACUUAUCCCCAUGAGAAUCGUCUCUUAUCUCCUCUCGUUUCCCUCGCGACGAAACAUGCAUCGGCGUCUACGUGCGUGGGGUAUUAGAUAGUGUCUCGCUCGAGAUCACAUCCUCACGGCCGCAGCGUCAACAAUGUCACCGUCGUCGUCGCUCUACUCCGGCCGUCUCCUCUCCUCCCGCCCGGCGUCCAAGGGGCUCGUACGUCGUCUCCUCAAUCACGAUGGGAGCAGGUGGGUCAGGCCGUCGUGCUCCCUGUCUAUGAACGGCUGCGCGGCCGGCGUGGGCGCGGUGACCAUGCACGAGACGCGGGUCCUGCCGGCCGCGUCGGCGCCGCAGGAGGCCGUCGGGCAGCUCAGGGCCGCCGUCGCCGCGCUCAACGCCGACCCGCCGGUGUCCUCCUCCGGCAUCAUCCGCAUCGAGGUAGCAAAAGCACAUGGUCUUCAAUGGCGAACUGCGUUUGAUCGUAUUCGUAUCUGGAUAAAAUGGGACGCGCGCGCACGCAGGUGCCGAUUCGGCAGCGAGGGGACGCCAUCGAGUGGCUGCACGCGCAGAGGCAGAGCUCCCUGCCCCGCUGCUUCUUCUCCGCCCGGGCGCCGCUGCCGGACACUCCGGCCCUCGCCGUGGGCAUCAGCAGCAACGGCAACGGCAGCCACAAGGAGCAGUGGGAGCAGCCGGUAAGCGUCGCCGGCGUGGGGUCGGCGGUCUUCUUCCGCGGCACGGACCCCUUCUCCCUCCGCGACUGGCGAGCCAUCAAGAGGUACGCAAAAACUCACUACCUACUCGAUCAGCUACUAUGUUUUUUCUGAAUUGGAUGAACUAUGAUAAAGCUUGGCUUAGAGUGCGUUUACGACGCUGUUCCUCCUCUUCUUUGUCCGUGAAGAUUUCUUUCAAGGGACUGCCCGCUGAUCCGCGCCUACGGCGCCAUCCGUUUCGACGCGUCGAGCGACGCCUCGGUCGAAUGGGAAGACUACGGCGCAUUCUACUUCGUCGUUCCACAAGUAAGUCGAUCCGCAACUGGUGACAGUUUCAUUCUGCAUGAUGAAUGCAAUGUGCAUGUGUACUGCCUUAUUUCAAGUGUGUGUGAUGUAAAAAUGUACUGCAUUGCAGGUUGAGUUCAGCGAGCUCGAGGAGGGCUCGGUUCUCGCGACGACGAUUGCGUGGGACGACUCCCUUUCUUGGACAUGGCAGAGCGCUGUGGAGGAGCUUCAAUCGACAUUGCACGAGGCAUGGCAUUUUGUUUCCCUGCAUUCUCAUGUGGAAGAUAGUAAGUUAGCAACCGCUAAUUUGAACUUGUAUGCAGAUAUCACCCUGUUCAGUUAAGGUGAACAGGUCCACCCUGCAAACCGCCAUCGUAAAUCUCAAUCAUGUCCCCACCAAGGCGUCCUGGGAUCUUGCUGUUACUCAAGCUCUUCGGAUGAUCAAAGGGAGCCAGACGGAAUUAGUCAAGGUAAACCAUUCAUCGCGUCACUGUCUGCCAAAACAAAAACUAGACGAGUAAUUUUCUUUACCUGUCUUUUUGUGAGUAUAGAGAGGUUUAGUUCAACCAAUCUCUUCCAAUCCUGAUAUUUGUAUGAAUGCUAGAAUUUUUCAGUUAGUUACUAAAAAAACACUUAUUUUCCAUUUUUGUUUUCGACAUAUAUUGAACUUGCCAAUGAACUAUUUCUGCAGGUUGUGCUGGCAAGGUGCAGCAGGUACAUCACUGAUACUUGCAUCGACCCUCUGGAGCUGUUAGCUUGUCUGAAGGUAUGUCGUAUUAUUGUCCUCUCCCUUCAUGAUGUACUCAUAUCAUCUUGUUUACGAGAAGAUCAUUCUGCGACUCUUGUAUGUAUAGGUUGAGGGCCAGAAUGCCUACCAGUUCUGCAUACAGCCACCCGAUGCUCCUGCAUUUGUUGGAAAUAGUGUAUGUCUUCUGCGAUGCACUUUCUUUUCUUCCUGAUAUACCUGACCUUCAGAGUCCUGUUUAGAAACAGGUCUUACUUAUGCCUUGUGCAUUGUUUAUCUCUAUAUUUGCUCUAGCACUGUUAAAUAACUCUCUUCUAACUAUUGCUAAUUUCAUCCAAACAUUCUGAAUAGCCAGAGCAACUAUUUCACCGGAAAUACUUGAACAUUUCCAGCGAGGCUUUAGCCGGUACGCGAGCAAGAGGGAAAACAAGGGCUGAUGAUUUUCAAAUUGGCCAGGAAUUGCUUCUAAGGUUUGUUUCCCCUCUUUGUGCUUGUAAUCAUAAGAUUGACAUAUUUCUGAAAUUUUACGGAGAUAUCGGCACCUUGUACGAAGACCAGACUGGUCAGUAAUGUAAAUAAUUCUUGCAGCAUCAAAGAGGACACUGAAUUUACUAUAGUACGGGAAAGCAUAAAGAAGAAGCUUGAGGCAAGUUAAGUUUCAGAGUCCAAUUUCAGAUAUGAUCCUGGACUAGUUUGCGUUGCUCUUGGUACUCAGCAGUAAUGCUUUUCAGAAAACAAAAUAUGGUGACUGUAAUUUUUGCUGAACCAGUGGAUCUGAUCUAAUCUGCAGAUGAUCUGUGAUGAGGUUGUUGUCAAUCCCAGUAAGGCCCUUCGGAAACUUCCAAGAGUACAACAUUUGUCAGCUCAAUUAGCUGCAAGAUUAAGAAAUGAGGACGACGAGGUAAUCUGUGGUUUGAACAUUCUCUGUCACUUGGACAUGUAGGUAUCAUUUGAAUUUUCUUUUGCCCUGGAUUGUUGGAGACAUCGACUAGUGUUCAUAUAAUAGACUUGAUACUUCGUGCUGGUAUUUGCAGUUUGACAUCCUAAAUGCUCUUCAUCCAAGCCCAGCUGUUUGUGGUUUGCCCACUGAAGAAGCGCGCCAAUUCAUACGAGAUUAUGGUGUGUGCCUGUAUUCUGGCUGAAAUGUUAUCUAUGAACGCAUAUGCACUAUUGUGUUCUGUAUUUAGUACGCAACCUAUUGAUGGUGAUCUCUGAAUGCUAUUUUCUGAUGUUGCUGCAGAAAUUUUCGACCGUGGAAUGUACGCUGGACCUGUUGGUUGGUUUGGUGGAGCUGAAAGUGAGUUUGCUGUUGGAAUUAGAUCAGCACUACUUGGAAAAGUAAAUAAAACACAUGUCAUCAAUAUUUGUGUAAACCUUACCUUCUUAACCUAUCCUAAUUUAGAAGCAUAAGUCACCUAGCUGUCUUGUCCAGGGAUAUAGCACUUUAGUUUAUGCCGGUGCCGGGAUUGUCGAAGGUACAAAUCCAUCUUUUGAAUGGGAUGAGCUUGAUCUCAAAGCAUCUCAGGUAGUCUCUGUCCAAUGUCAUGACUGUUAUUACUGACUUCUAUUUGAAAUGCUAACACGUUAGAUCUUACGACUAUUUUCAGUUUGCAAAGUUGUUGCAGUAUCAAGAACAUCAUAUUUGCUACCAAGAGGCAGGAAACAUGGGGACAUUGAUUUGAACUGUAACUAGUAAGUCAUCAGAGAUUACAAUGCUUAGAAAGAGGUGGGAAAUUACGUUAUCUCAAUUAUAUAGAAUGUCUACAACUUCAGUUUGUAUCUGACAUUGGAAUGCCCGAUGUGUUUAUUUUGAACUCCUUCUACAGGGAAGUUUUGAUUUGGUGGGAAGAUUCCAAAUGGAGUUCAUAUCUGUUUGUGUGCGUGCGUUGUAAACUUCGAAAGAUUUCAGCCUGAUUUGCAUGGCUCUUGAAGAUGCAAUCACAGAAAUAUCGAAAUAUCGAUUCGAGGAGAUGACAGUGAUGAUAGUCGUGGAGCGUACAAAAGAUUAAAUAAAAGCAUAUUAAAUAAUUAUGUACAAUGAUUGUAACAAGUCAGUUUAGUGCAAAGUGUAUAUUACACGAUGAGUUUUUUUAUCCACGCACCCCAGGGAUGGGGAUGGGCAUCGGGAUGGUGUCACGGGUGUGUGGAUCAUAUUAUAGCAAAUCUCAACUGGGUAUUCCCCAUUGUCACUUUGAGUCUAGAUGGACCACAAUCUGAGUACUACUAUUAUUGACUCCCUCGCACGGUCUUCUUGUUCAUCAAAUGGAUGUUAAGAUAACUUUCCUAAAUGGAGAGUCAGAGAAGAAAAUUUACAUGGAACAAAAGAUGGAUUUGUAGUAUCGGGUCAGGAAAGGAAGAUCUGCAAUUUACUGAAAUCUUUGCAUGGCCUAAAACUAGCACAUAAGCAAUGACACCAGAAAUUUAUCAAAACUUUAAAUUUCAUAGACUUUGUUGUCAAUGAAGACAAAAAAUGUGUUUGCUACCGUUAUGGUGGAGGCAAGGGAGUGAUCAUUUGCUUGUACGUUGAUGCAUACUAAUCUUUAGCACCAGGGGAUCUGUGAAGUAGGACCUCGGAAAACAAACCUUUGCAGUUGGAGAGAACAUUUCCUAAAAUCACUCAUUUGAACAUGUAGUUCUCUCACGGAUAUAGUAAGGCGGACUUAUUAUUCUUAAUGUGCUCUAUUACUUGUGUACGCGAAGAUGUUGCCUUACAGGACUGUCUUUGAAAAAACAAACCUUUAUGAGCUAGUUGCCGGUCACACUCUAUGAUAUUAGGUAAUAUCUAGUAAGCUCAUGAAAGGCCAGGAGUACGACUUAUGUUGCUGGUCACACUCUAUUUCAAAUGGAGUACACGUUCACUCACUAACUCGACUUACCACGCCACACAUGGUGCGCACGUCGUGUUUCACGAGUCAAAUUCGAGUUUGAGCUAAGAGCAGUUUUAACAUGCUCCCUCUUACGUCAUCUUUUCACAUGAGAGGUAAGAGUACAUAUUAGAUCUGAGCCGUUGAUCUCAUUAAUUAGUGAUCCGAUUAACUCUUACCUUCUUACCGCACAUGUAAAAAGAAGGGGUAAGAGGGAGCAUGUUAAAUUUUGCCUUGAGCUAAUAUUAUGCACUAUGUUUGAAGAACUAAAAUUUUGCUUGGCAGUGCAUUGCUAAGGAAGCUUCGGGUGUACAUGUCAACACUCAGCUCGUUGUGGGCACAUUUUUUUGCUUUCAGAGAUUUCUUCCGCCAUGUGUUAGUUGCAUCUCCCCAGUCUUCCAUGCAUUGAAGGUCAGAACUACCAAAUCAUCAUAACGGUAAUCUAAUGCAAUAUGACCAAACAACAUAAACUGGUUGGUCUAUUCAACUUGAUAUUCCAACCAUUUUAGAUAUGGAAAGCUAUUUCCAAAUUCUUGAUAAGGAAAGGUAGUACGUAUGUGUACCUUGGCCAUUUGUCCUGUCUAAGAAAGCAUGUAGUUUCAAUGUUGUUCUGUAAUACAUCAUUCCAUGAACAAACAUUACAGUUGUAUUAGGGCAAACUCACUGCCGGUUGCUUGAAAACCCUUGUCAAGACCGAGUUCUAUCACCAUAGGCAACCUCGUAAGCUAGUGGCGGAGCUACAUGCAUUGUUGAGGGGGAGGGGGCCAAUGCCCCCCCACCCUAGGAUAUUUAGUGAAUAAAAAAGUAGAGGCUUAGAUUAAUAAGAUUGUAGUCAUCCUCCCCCCCCCCCCAAAGAUUUAUAUUUUCUCUUUUCCUCCCCCUUGUUUAUCUCCUAGCUUUGCCCCUGACGGAAGCAAUCCAAUUUGGACGAAUGACUGGGAUGCAAGGGAACUUUCUAACGACUUCAUAUUCUUAGCCUUUGCUUUCAGUAGGAUACCUUCAUGUAGCCCACCAAGGACCAAAUACAACUGCCCACAGAGGAAAAAUAUAAACACCUUUGAUAACUGCAUAAAAUAUGGACCCGUUAGAAUAAUAGGACUCGUCAUUGGUACUAAACAAAAAAUACUUCCACAAAAAAGAUUGGAUUUGACCAAGGUGAAGUUACAAUGCAAGCGUGCAAGAGAGAGAGAGAGAGGGAUGGAGAAAACAUAUUAGGCCAUUGAACUAGAGCUCCACUGCGAUGAAAUAACAGAAGAACAUCCGACGAUGAUCAGUCCUUGCCCUAGGCGGUAUAUUUCACGCCUGACUGUCUGUUCACCAUUGCCAUUUCCUUUGGCUUCAACUAUUGAUAUCCGAUUAAGACUAACAUCAUGCCCUUUGCCAAUCUUAUUAACCCUUGUCAAGACCGAGUUCUAUCACCAUAGGCAACCUCUAAGCCAGUGGCGGAGGUACAUGCAUUGUUGAGGGGGAGAGGGCCAAUGCCCCCCCCCCCCCAGGAUAUUUAGUGAAUAAAAAAGUAGAGGCUUAGAUUAAUAANNNNNNNNNNNNNNNNNNNNNNNNNNNNNNNNNNNNNNNNNNNNNNNNNNNNNNNNNNNNNNNNNNNNNNNNNNNNNNNNNNNNNNNNNNNNNUGCCUCCCCCCUUGUUUCUCUCCUAGCUUUGCCCCUGAUGGAAGCAAUCCAAUUUGGAUGAAAGAUUGGGAUGCAAGGGAACUUUCUAACGACAUCAUAUUCUUAGCCUUUGCUUUAAGUAGGAUACUUUCAUGUAGCCCACUAAGGACCAAAUACAACUGCCCACAGAGGAAAAUAUAAACACCUUCGAUAACUGCAUAAAAUAUGGACCCGUUAGAAUAAUAGGACUCGUCAUUGGUACUAAACAAAAAAAAACAUCCACAAAAAAUAUUGGAUUUGACCAAGGUGAAGUUACAAUGCAAGCGUGCAAGAGAGAGGGAGGGAUGGAGAAAACAUAUUAGGCCGUUGAACUAGAGCUCCACUGUGGUGAAAUAACAGAAGAGCAUCCGGCAAAGAUCAAAUCCUUGCCCUAGGCGGUAUAUUUCACGCCAGACUGUCUGUUCACCAUUGCCAUUUGCUUUGGCUUCAACUAUUGAUAUCUGAUUAAGACUAACAUCAUGCCCUUUGCCAAUUUGAAUAUACUCAUUGUAAAUUAUAUUUCCGCGACGCAAUAUGGAAUUAUAACCUGUAAAGUUAAUGUUAAGGCACAAUUUCGUUCAAAAUGACAUGAAUUUAUUAUUUCCAACAGAACAAAUAUUUAAAUUACCAGCAAAUGCAUCCUUGCUUAAGUUUAUGGUUUUAGAGGCUUUCCUUAUACCACCUCUUGUCAAAUGAAAGAUCCGGAUGACCAUAGUGAAUCGUACUCUGCAACCAUUUUGGAUCUUUUAGUACAUUACAUAAACAUACUAUCAAUUCUUCGGUAAAGAUAUACACGGUAUUUAAUAGUACUAUAUGACACCCUAACAUUCAUAAAACGAGAACAACAGAGCGUCGGAAAUUAGUUUGUGCCAUCUAUGAUGAGAAGCAUACUUUCACCUAAUGGGAUCAACGAGGAAUCUAUGUCAAUUGUAACAAAGGUUGUUUCUUAGUAUGACAUGAAUCCAGCAACCGAAAUAUAUUGCAACGGGUUUCCGGAACAACACGCGGGGUAUCAUCUACUCCCUCUGUCCCAUAAUAUAAGAGCGUUUUUUUACACUAGUAUAGUGCCAAAACAUAGUUAAUUAGGGAAGUUGAGCAUGGCCCUAAUGCCAUUAGCAAUGAAGAAAUUAUUUUGGCCAUGGACGAUGCUGAUUCUGGUUUUAUGGCUGCAUUUUAUUCCGUGUGAAUGUGUGAUAUCAAAAAAAGAAGAAGAAGGCAGACAGUAGUUUGAUCUACAUAAAUUCUACACGGGUAAACGUUGGAAUCACAACACGAGAGCAAGAACAGAUCAUUGAGCCAAUUAUUGAGGCCUUAAACUUCACGGACCACACAAUUUUUUCCACGCACUUAUCGCCUUGCUGCCAUCACAAGAUGCUACGGUCCAUUGCUGCAACAGUGUUCCCAAGUUUUAGCCAGGCAACCAGUCCAAUCCCACAGAUAUCGUGCCAAAAACCAAAUCUGAGAAUAGUCAUCUGAAUGAACCGACUAAUGUUGAUUGAUGCGACGAUAAAAACCAAUAAAAAAUAUCAUAAUCAGAAGAAGAAAACAAUCUACUUCAUCAGCAUUAACACCUCGUGCUAUGUCAUCAAUCAACCCGCUUCAUCGAUCCGCCGUCGAGCAGCAGCCAGCGUAUAUAUGUAGCUCGGUUCCUCAGCACCAACUCAUCAGCAAACCCGUGACUGCGAAGAAGAAAAAGAAGAAGAAAGAGUGAGGGAGGUAUCAACUGAAGCUCUUGGAGUGAAAUGGCUACCGCCGGGAAGGUGAUCAAGUGCAAAGGUUGGUUCCUGAACCAUUAAGUUUCCUAUUCAUCUCAGUCUGUGUGAAGAAAUUCCUGGAAUGGGUGGAUGGGAUGAAAUUAACAAGGGAGGGCGUAUAGUUAAUUUGGUUGGUGCUGGCAGCGGCGGUGGCGUGGGAGGCCGGGAAGCCGCUGUCGAUGGAGGAGGUGGAGGUGGCGCCGCCGCAGGCCAUGGAGGUGCGCGUCAAGAUCCUCUACACCGCCCUCUGCCACACCGACGUCUACUUCUGGGAGGCCAAGGUACAUAUCUUAUCCAAAACAUCUCAUAGUGUACCAAUUUUGUGUUUUCCAGAUUACUUUAUCUGGAUGAAUGGAUGAGUUGGUGAUGCGCUGCUUGGAUCUUGGCAGGGCCAAACUCGGCAAAUUUGACCAUUUUGACCUACGGACGAAAUCAAUUCACGGAAUGAACUGAUCGUGAAACUAUUUCACAGCCCUAACCUUUUUGUGUAGCGCCCGCCACGACGGCGCCACACCCUACUGUGCAGCGCCUAGCACGGGGACGUUGCACACCAGUCCACCGUGGCAGCCCCUGGGCCCGCACACAGCAGUGCAACGCCUUCGUGCUAGGCGCCACACAUGUAAUGUGCAGCGCCCAGCCCAUAGGCGCCACACUUGUAAAGUGCAGCGCCUAGCGCGUAGGCGCUGCACUGUGACUUAUCCAGCCACUUGGCUGCCCCCCCUCCCCCACCCCCACACCACACACUCUCCCACUCUCCUCCCCGAGCUUUGCCCCCUCUCCCACUCUCUCCCCCUCUCAAAUCCUCUCCCAAAUCUUGCAAAUUUGAAGAAUUUGUCCGUGGAUUUCGAAGUCAAACCCUCCCUCAAGGUAAUAUUCUCCGAUCCCCUUGUUUUGAUUCAAGUAAAGUUCCCAUUGCUCAUUUGUUGCUAGUUUGGGGAAACCCUAGUUUUGUUUGGAUCUAGAGAUUUGCAUGGAAAUGUGAGAUGUUUGUUUACCAAUUUCUAUGGUUAGGCUUUGUUAGUAUGCUAGGGUUAUUCUUAUGGGUGUUCUUAUGUUGGUGCUAGGGUUAGGUUUAGGGCUAGGGUUAUGGUUAUGGUUAUGGUUAUGGUUAUGGUUGUUGUUUGAUAUAUAUAUUAGGGUUUCUAUUCCGUGUUAAUUCUUGUAUUAGUACUCAUGGAAGCAAUGUUACCUUGUGUUAUUGGAAUGCUUAUAGGGAUGGGAAGAACAUGUGUGUUUGUUCAUCAUGGGGACAAGGACGCCUUUUUGAAAGGCAAUGUAGAACCGGACCCGGAUGAGGUUGACAUGGUGUUUGAUAGUAGUCCUAGCUAUGCGGAGCUCUUGCAACAAGUUAGGGAAGAUUUGAAUUGGACGGACCCUAGUGAUAUCAUAGAGUUGGAGGGAAGGCAUAAUGUUGGUUUUGGAAUGCACAUCCGUUGGAAGACAAUGCGUGUCAACUCGGAGCAACGUUGGGUUGCAUACAAGGAGACGGUGGCCGAAUCACUAGACAAGGCUCUUGAGUUAUUUGCAACGAAGAAGGUUGGUUCAAGUUUGCAUUUGGACUUGAACCGGAACCCCUCCCCUUUGGUUGCUAGUAGCCCCACACCCUUGAAGCGAGAUGAACUUGUUGAACCUCUUUUGACCCAAGAAGUGAGGCCAACAUGAGCCCGUUUACAAACAACCAAGAUGAAGCUUUGCAAGAGGACAAUGAUGAGUAUGCGGACGAUGACAAUGAAGUUGAUCUCCAUGACAACAAUGUGGGUGAUCUCGACAAAUAUCACUUGCAAGAGACAAUGGAUCCUUCCAUCCCUUUUUCCCGUGCAUAUGCAUUGGACUCGGAUGACGAUGGUCCCGAUGAACAAGUGGAUGCGGAGGGGUUCACGGUGAAGGAGGCCGAAGCUUUCGAGAAGGUAUUUGGUCGGGAUCAUCGGACUACAUUGUUCAAGGAUGUUAGUCUCGCGGAUGAAGCCGUGGUAGAUGGUGGCAAUGUGUACCUCUUGGGGUUAGGCCAAGCUCUCAUCGUGAUUUGGGAGACGACAAGAACCGCAUUGCUAAAGGUUCUAAGUUUGACACCUUCUUAUGCAAUGUCGAGUUACGAUGGAAGCAUGAUAAUAACUUAUGCAAUGUCAAUUCACCUGCUCAGGCGUGAUCGCGUCCAUCUCGCUCCUGUACAGCUUGUACAUGACCGAGGGAUCAUCCGUCAUCUCAUUUAACACAUCCCACUUGUAAGCCCAAGUGGGGAGCCGUAGUGGAUCGUCUUUCUCGUCCCAAUCCUCGAACUUCACGGUCUUCGGUCGUCCAACCGGCAAACGCUCCCAGCUCCAUAUGGAAAGUGCGAGCAAACAACCACCAAUACCUCCAGAUAGCCUACAACAGGCUUCGUCCAACUGCACAUAAAAGAGAACAUGGUUGAAUUAACAGCAACAUCGCAUUCAUAAUGUACCAAUGAAUUAAAACAGAAACAACUUCAUACCUGUCUAUACAAGUAAGCCAGUGUCGCCGAACCCCAACUCCAUUUGCUAUCGAAGACGGUCAACGCCUUGAGCCACAUCCAUGGAGCAUUCUUGCCUGUGCCAUCAGCAAACAUACUCCUGGAUAUCACGUACCACAUGUAGACACGAGCAUAUGUCUUCACCGUGUCCUCAUUAGCAUCCUCAGGGCAAUUACUGAAGUUCGAUACAAUCCACGUGAAAGUAGCACCGGCUGCGACUCUUUCCUUCUUCUUGCCUUCUACUUCUGGUUCGCGCGGCUCCGGAGGAACCAUACCGAUAAGGGCAAGCAUUUGCUCGCGCCACCCAUCAGAAUCGGUGCUCAUACAUAGAGGAUUCCCAUCGAUAGGAAAACCGGUGAUCAUAGCUAUAUCCUGGAGCGUCACGGUCAUCUCCCCGGUCCGAAGAUGGAAAGUGUGUGUCUCCGGCCUCCAAUGAUCAAUAAGCGCGGUGAGUGCUGGAGGAUUGUUGGGUGGCGUCGACCUGCUGACCAACUGAAUGAAAGAGAGAAGUCUUGUCUCCCUAACAUACGGGGUGUACCGCUCAUCAUAGCGCAUCCACCCAAGGUUGACCCCGUGAGCCCGAAGCUUCAGAGGUGCAAGCUCCUACAAGCAAACAAACAAAUCAUUACAUAUGGGGGGUAUGUGUUUGAAAAAAAACACGAAAUUCAUAACACCGACAACUUUCAUUAUUACCUGCUGCUUCACCGACAUAGCGUACGACCGGUGUUGUAGAUCCCAAUGAUCAUUGAGAAGCCAAACCAUCCUAGCAAUUUGCAAGAAAGCUUUCUUGUCAACACGAUUAUCUUUUGAAUACAAAAAAACUAAAGUAGGCCUACUAGAUGCAACCAUACCAAUCUAUGUAUCCAACCAUAUCAAAUCAAACAUAACUAAUAAAAAAGGGUUCCACAAAUAACUAGGCCUACUUCAUACAAAUAACUUUUCCAUAAACUAUGCCUACUUCAUAAAAAUAACUCUUCCAUAAACUAAACUAGGGUUCCACAAAUCAAACAAACAAGGGUUCCCCAAAUCAAUCAAACAAGUCAAUACAUGCAAAGUUCUAAUACAUGCAAGAUUCAAAUCUAAUCUAAUCAAACAAGGAUUCCCCAAAUCUUCAAAAUAUCAUAUUUUCUAUGGAUAGAAAGAAGGGGAUCGGAAGAGAGUACCUUCUAGGAUGGAUUGGUGAAGAAAUGCACGGACCAAAUCGUCGGAUCUGAAGGAUUUGGGAGAGGGGAUUGAGAGGGGGAGAGGAGGAACCUGCCGCGCCGCUGCUUCUGUUACUUCAAAACCGAACGAAUGGGUGGGGUGGGGGAGGGGGAGCGGGCGGCUAGCGUCUAAGUCACCGUGCAGCGCCUACGGGCUGGGCGCUGCACAUUACAUGUGUGGCGCCUAGCACGGAGGCAUUGCACUGCUGGGUGCGGGUCCAGGGGCUGUCACGGUGGACUGGUGUGCAACGCCCCCGUGCUAGGCGCUGCACAGUAGGGUGUGGCGCCGUCGUGGCGGGCGCUACACAAAAAGGUUAGGACUGUGAAAUAGUUUCACGGUCAGUUCAUUCCGUGAAUUGAUUUCGUCCGUAGGUCAAAAUGGUCAAAUUUGCCACCAAACUCCGGUUUUCCUUAGGAUCUUGGGCCAUGAAGCUGGAGGGUAUCCAUACUCACCUUUUGCCUCUCUCUUAGCCGCCCCCCCCCUCUCUUUCCCCUGUUUUAAGUUUUAAUAAUUGUUAAUCACUUCAUGGAAUCUAGCUUUGAAUCCUCACCUGAAAUAUGGUUUUAUUGGUGCAAUUAUAGUCAUCCUGAAUCCUACUAGUAUUUACCCCGAAAAUAAUAAUAAAAAGAAUCCUACUAGUAUUUGUCUGUACUUUUUUUAUUAGUACUCCCUCCAUUCCGAUUUACUCGUCGUGAUUUUAGUUUAAGAGGCAGUACUUUGCUGAAGUAACAUGUUUGUUCCCUCACAGCAUUGUGGAGAGUGUCGGUGAGGGCGUGACGGAGCUGGUGCCGGGCGACCAUGUCCUCCCGGUGUUCACCGGAGAGUGCAAGGAGUGUGCCCACUGCAUGUCAGAGGAGAGCAACCUCUGUGACCUCCUCAGGAUAAAUGUCGACUGUGGCGUGAUGAUCGGCGACGGGCAGUCCCGCUUCAGCAUCGACGGGAAACCCAUCUUCCACUUCGUCGGGACGUCCACCUUCAGUGAGUACACCGUGAUCCAUGUCGGGUGCCUUGCCAAGAUCGACCCCGAGGCGCCCCUCGACAAAGUCUGCCUCCUUAGCUGUGGUAUCUCAACCGGUAAGAGUCUAUAUGUACUGAGCCGCCGACGAGUUCAACAUGUUUGGGACGCCUCGGCGAAUUGCUGAGAUUUCAUGUUUCCAAUUCAGGGCUUGGUGCGACCCUCAACGUCGCAAAGCCCAAGAAGGGCAUGACAGUGGCGGUUUUCGGUCUUGGAGCUGUAGGCCUCGCUGUAAGUGUUCCUCCACCAGAUAUUCUUUCAGGUCGAUCGAUGAGAAUUGUUCUAUGACCAUGACUAAUUACAGGCCAUGGAAGGGGCCAGGAUGUCCGGCGCAUCGAGGAUUAUCGGCGUGGACUUGAACCCUGCAAAACACCAACAAGGUACGCAUGAUAAUCUGCCGCUGCCAUGCCAUCGAUCUUCAGGAAGAAAAUUAAAACAAUCCAUCCAUCUUGGCAAAAUGUAUAUUUGUUAGCACCGGAGCAGACUGACUGAGCCUUGCAACCCCAUGCAUGUCCAUUGCUUUUCAGCUAAGAAAUUUGGCUGCACCGACUUUGUGAACCCCAAGGACCACGCCAAGCCAGUGCAAGAGGUACUUGUUCAUGACAUACGCGCACAAGAAGCUUGUGUCAAAUGAAAUGCUGAUGGUCCAAAAAUACGCCGCAGGUGAUCGUGGAGAUGACCGACGGCGGGGUCGACCGGGCCGUGGAGUGCACGGGCAACGCCGACGCCAUGAUCUCCGCCUUCGAAUGCGUGCACGAUGUACAUAUGAUGAUCACUUGCUCCUUCUUCUGCUGCUUGAAACUGAAUCCUGACACUAACACUAUGGCCUGAUGGACGGGAGCAGGGGUGGGGCGUGGCGGUGCUGGUGGGGGUGGCGCACAAGGAGGCGGUGUUCAAGACGCACCCCAUGAACUUCCUCAACGAGAGGACGCUGAGGGGCACCUUCUUCGGCAACUACAAGCCGCGCACCGGCCUCCCCGGGGUCGUGGACAUGUACAUGAGGAAGGAGCUGGAGCUGGACAAGUUCAUCACCCACAGCGUGCCCUUCUCGCAGAUCAACACGGCCUUCGACCUCAUGCUCAAGGGGGAAGGCCUGCGCUGCGUCAUCAGGAUGGAGGAGUAGAGGUAGAGCCCCUGGCUCUUCUUCAUCCCUCGCUGCUAUUGGACUACAACACACAUGUAUCAGCUUCUUUGCUACUUUUUUUUUGAAGUCAUGCCACUUAUAGGACUCCGAUUCAUUAAAUAAGCAGAAGAGGGUUGCUCGAUUAAUUUGCGAAAACUCGGCGAAAACCAUCACAACAUGCCCACAAAAGGGCACACCUGUUCAACCUCACUACCCACAAGACCCGCACUGUCGAGGACACGUACGCCUUUCUCUUACCGCCAGAAAGAAACCGCAUCGAAUCGCCAUCCUCCGACAACAAGAACUGCUUACUUCCUCCGUCCCAUAAUAUAAGAUGUUAAGAACAAAUUUGCAUCCUACAACAAAGACUGCUUGUUGCCUACUUCCUCCGUCCCAUAAUAUAAAAUGUUAAGAACAAAUUUGCAUCCUACAACAAGGACUGCUUGUUGCCUACUUCCUCCGUCCCAUAAUAUAAGAUGUUAAGAACAAAUUUGGAUAUAAGAUUCAGUUGGAUAUUUAUGCACCAUGCAGGAGAAGUGAGAACGAAUUUUGAUACAAGAUCCAGUUGGACAUUUACGUAACCAAUUGAUUUAUUUCUACAUCGUUUGCCUACAUCUGGGUUUUCCAUUUUUUGUUUUUAUGCAACCCCCCUCUCCCUGUCUACUUAUUCGAAAUAUCAGUGAUUUGUUUCUCAUCACAGCAGAUGAUCAGAUUUAAUCUACACCCCACCCUUUGACUGGAAGAAGCGUGCGUGAAACAGUGUUACAGAACCUGGACAGCUGAUACUAUUCAACUAAUUUCAUAAUCCAUAACUGCUCAGUAUUUACAAACUAUUGCCUGGUUGAGUACAGUCAGAUCCAAGCAAAUUUUACAAGUUAAUCUCAUGAGCUGAAAUUGACAGGAUCCAGGGACAUAACAUGUAUCCAAAUACAGACUUUGUGGUUCACUCUAUCAACGGUCUCCGAAUUUUGAUCAGGCAAAGAACUCGACCAUGUUGUUAGUCCAAGACUGUCAUUUUGAAGGGGUGGCACCUUGUCUUGAUGAAGAAUCCGGAUCAAGCUGGGCAUAAGAGGGAGACGUUUCCGGCUCCAGUAGGAUUUGCCUGAGAUGCUUGUCCUCGAGAUGUUCCUAGAAACAAUUAAAACAUGGAACGAUCAGCCAUUAGAUAAGCAAGAAACACGCAACAUUAAAUCACAAAAUUUAAACCUAAAUGACUGAAAUGCAAGAUACGACAGAUUGCUUAUGUCGUAGUGAAGAAAACAGGGUACUGGUGUAUGUUGAACACUCAUCGUGCGAUACAACAGUGCUUUGUGAAUGAAACCACUUUGUUGAACUCAAUUCCUGAACAAUCAUUCUUGUAACACACAGAUACUAUAUGGCAACAUGGACAACUGAAGAGGUAAAUAACACAGAUACAGACCGAAUUUUGACAAAGUGAGAACUUUCCCUAUAAAUAAACUAAUUAAAUACAUUGGGGUGGUAAGAAGUUUUUGUUCCUUGCAGUAACAGCAAAUUACUGCAAACAAAAAGCACAAGGCUGUGAACCAUCGAUCUGGUACGAUUUGAUAUAACCACCAGUUUUACAGAACACACAUCAUUGCUAUUUACACUAUAUAAGUCAUGGAGAACAAUUGACUUGCAACUGUGCAAGUGAAAAAAAAAGACAGUCCGUUCAGCAAUAGAAAUUGACAACAGUGAGUUUUCCUAAGAAAUAGCAGAUCUUUUGCUGGGUUGGCAGUCAGUAAGCAACCAGAAUGCCUACCAACCAUUCCCAAAUUCUCACCAGCAUCGCACCAGUUAUGACCAAUACUUGCCUAGAAAACAACCUAACAGCAGCCAAUAAGCAAAAUAAGAACACCUGUAACUGCAAAUGGUUUUAACAAGAUCCGUUUUUGGUGUAGCCUGGGAUGUAAGCAUAGAAGGGUUUGCUGGUUACUUUGGCCCCUUUUAUCCACCAAAAAAAAUUCAUUGUUGGUUAACUCUCUACAGACUGAGCUCCCCUGCGAUAUCAAUUAACUGCUUUGCCAUGCAAAUGCCGGAACUAGCACAGUCUUGCAAGCUCAAUCGCUCCGGCUAUUCAAACAGGAUACAAGGUUAAUAAUCUCUGUUUUUAGGCAAUAACCUUUUUGGGUAGAAAGAGCGUCCUUGUUAACCUACAUUGCUUGUCCACAUAAGUGCUCUGAACUGACAUUGCACACAAUAGCCGCCGGAUCCCACAUUUGCAACAUGAGGACCGCAGCGCAAUCCAAAUCAAGAUCAUAAGCAACAUAACACCUGACUGCCAUAAGCCCCCCCUACUAUGAUGAUUCUCACAUUCUCCCCAGAAUACCCACCUUAAGCCAACGCAGUUAAAAAAGCGACAUAACCGAGACAGUCCCUCCUCAAAUAUCUUCCUAAACAAGAACUCCAAAUCUUACAUGAAAUUUAUGCCUCCCAGUCCCAGGACUGGAAUUAUCUCAGCCUAAACUAUAAGAUCUUCAUAAUCAGGAAUCCAUAUCUCUGGAAAAUAUCACCUCAGGGAGCCCCAUCAGAGAAAACUAGGCGGUCAAUGGUGGGGGAUCUCUACCGCGCGCAUAGCAAACCGGUGAUCCAAUCUAACCGGCAAGCAACGAUAGCGAGGUGUGGUUGGGGCGAGGGGGGGUGUUGGCGGGCGUGGGCUAGGUUUACCUCGAGGCAGGCGCGGUACUUGUGCCAGUCGGCGGCGCAGUCGUCCUUGUUCCACUGGCCCUUGGCGAACUUGUCGGCGUACCACCGGUUGAAGCACUCGUGGUACGCCGCCCGGAGGUCGGAGCAGGCCGCCGCGGCAGCCGACGAGGUGGCGGCCGCCGGGGAGGGCGUGGACGAGGAUUGCUUGCCCCGGCCGAACACCAUCCUUGUGCUGCUUCUCCCUGGCCACCACCGCCGCCGAGUCUCGUUUUGUGUUCUCGCUUUGUCCUUCCCUCUCUCUCUUCCGUCCCACGAUCCUGCGCAAAGACGGAGGUUUAUUUACCGUAUAAUAAUCCGCUCGUAAGGCGUAUUUGGGGAUAUUACGUAAACCUACUCGAAGCGGAUUCCAAUUUCUACCGCAAAGCCGUACCCAACUUGCAUACGCCUGGUGUAUUAUGUUUUUCGGACGGACGCCUCGUGUGUGUUUUAACUACUUUUGAGUUUUCUCUCCCUUUUUUUAGCAUAUAAAAUUAAUUGUUUUUGUUAUUUUAAAAACUUCUAAUUUAUUCGUCGACUAUCAAGAUAUAGUACAAAUAACAGAAGUAAAAAUUAAAUCCAUAUCGUAUACCACCUAGCGACGACUACAAGCACUGGGGCGAGCCGAAUAAGCGCUGCCAUCAUCGCCCCUCCAUCACUCGAGUCGGACAAACCUUGUCGUAGUAGACAGUCGGAAAGUCGUCAUGUUAAGACCUCAUACGACCAGCGCACUAGAAUAGCAACCGUCGUCGAUGAAGAGAAGCGUAGAUCAAAAAGAUCCAAUCUGUAGACACACCAACAUAGACGAAUAAAGACUGGAUCCAAGCGGAUCCAUCGAAGAAAACGCCGACUGAAUCCCGUGAGAUCCAUCGGAGACAAACCUCCACAUGCUCUUCGAUGAUGCUAGGCUCUCCUUUCUCCUCCCUCUCCCCCCCGCUCCUCUCCUCCCCCUUCCCUGCCCCUCCGCCACCGCUCCAUGCCCCUCCGCCGUUGCCCUGGGCUCUGAUUCUNNNNNNNNNNNNNNNNNNNNNNNNNNNNNNNNNNNNNNNNNNNNNNNNNNNNNNNNNNNNNNNNNNNNNNNNNNNNNNNNNNNNNNNNNNNNNNNNNNNNNNNNNNNNNNNNNNNNNNNNNNNNNNNNNNNNNNNNNNNNNNNNNNNNNNNNNNNNNNNNNNNNNNNNNNNNNNNNNNNNNNNNNNNNNNNNNNNNNNNNNNNNNNNNNNNNNNNNNNNNNNNNNNNNNNNNNNNNNNNNNNNNNNNNNNNNNNNNNNNNNNNNNNNNNNNNNNNNNNNNNNNNNNNNNNNNNNNNNNNNNNNNNNNNNNNNNNUCCCCUCCCCCCCGCGUCUGGCUGUUCCUCCCCGGCUCGCUCGUCGGUGGUUCGCUCUCCGGCGGCUUCUCCGUCUCUGCUUGGCUCCCGCUUUUGGGCUCUCGCUUCCGAUGAGGAUGGCUCAUCGGACGAGGAUCCUUCCCCCCGGCCCUCGCCGGCUCGCCCUGUGCGGGUCCCUUCCCCCUCCAUCACGCCUCGCCCUCGCAAGUUCGGGCCUGGGGGUCGGGGUCGGCCGGUGCCGUCGCCGUCGUCUGCUGCUGGCUGGGUCCGGAUUUCUUGUAGUCAGCGCAAAUCUGGUAAGGUUUCCUGCUUCUCGCAUGAUCCUGGGAUUCUGGGAGCCGCUCCGGGUGUGGUGUGCCCCUCCUCCCCGUCCUCUGCUUCUGGCCCGGCUUCCCCGUCGCCGGCGGCGGCAUCGCCGGGGCGGGUCGCGUCACUGGCGCCACUUGCCCUAGAUCUGGUCUCCUCUUCGUUGACCAGUGGGUUGCGGGCCGGACCGUCUGUUGGGCCUGUUGGGCCUUGCGCUCUUGUUCUGGCUUGUGAGCCCACUCCCCCUUCUCUGUCGCCAGUUGACGAUUUCCCCCCUCUCUUCUCUGUGGGCCCGGUGCGGCCUGCUUCUGCUUCGCGAGUCCCCCCUCCUCCCCCAGCCCGCUUGGCCCAUCUGGCCCAGGUGGGCACGACUCGGUCUGGGUAUUUAUGGAUCCCCCGCGGCUCCCCCCUGCUAGGGUUUCCGGCUUCCGCCGCUGAUUUGCAUCGUCACCGUCUCCCCAUUCGUUGUCUCGUCAGAUCCAACCCUCCUCCUCCCCUUCUCCUCUCCUUCGCUGCGAUGCUCCCCAUGGACAAAUUGCGGGGCUAGUCCUGUGAUACGGUCUCGGGCAGCAAGCGCCGGCGGGAGGAUUCUCCAGGCUCUGCUGUGGAUUUGGAGCUCGAGGCUUCGCUCCGUUCCAAGUUGGAGGCGGAGCAUGCGGUUCGUGAGCAGGUGGCUCGCGACCGCGCUGCAUGGGCCGUGGGUCCGGCGUGGCUCCAGCGCUCGGAGCGGGAGUGAGCUCCUGGAUCUGGUCCACAAGGGUCCAGAUCUGGGGCUUCUCUCUCUCCGGCGGUGGAUCCUUGGGAAGCGGCGGCGGCGGCUGGUGGGGGGAUCUCGUCCUCGUCGGGCUCCCUGCCUGCCCUUGGCGCGGGGCGUGGCGCGCCUGCUCCGGCGCGGAUUCCCCCCCUGCCCGGCAGGUGCUGGCGCGGGGCCUCGUCCUCCGCCUCGGUCCUUUGGGGGGCCGGCUCGGCGGCCUGCCGGUCCUUUUCCUGGUGCUUCCUCCUCAUUGGGGGUGGGAGAUGGGCUCCUGCCUCGUCCUCCCUCCCUCCCGCAGCUUGGCCCCAAUUCUUCCACCCCGAGCAACCCGUCUGCGCUCACCUGCUUCGCCUGCCAUAGGCCUGGGUACUUUCAAUCCAGAUGCACCAACCCCCCGUUCUGCCUGAUAUGUCGCUCGGAUGGGCACCUCACUGUCAACUGUAUGAAUCGCCAAAAGCCUCCUUCUUUCCUCCAGUUUGGCUUGGGGCUUCCUAGCUGCGCUUUCUUUACUAUGGAUAGCGAUCUCCCUGUCCUAGUGGCGGCCCUCUCCCUCUCUAAUGCUGCCAUAGUGUCGGUGAAAGAUCAAAAGAUCUCGUCUCAAAAUUUGCUUGAAGGGCUUCGGAUCUGGGAUGCUGAAGGUUGGGAUUGGCACGUUAAUCAACUGUCGGACUAUGAAUUCUCUGUUGUGUUCCCUUCCAAGGACUGCCUUCGGAUGAUUGCCUCGUGCACUAGCUUCACCCUUUCCCUCAACCAAUUGGUGGUUUCUGUGAAGCCGGCCACGUGCAGUGGAAAAGCGGUUGGUCCUCUCUCUCAGGUCUGGGUGUUGGUGGACGAUUUGCCAGCGGGCUCCGAUCUUCUGCCUUUCUCAUGGCGUUUGAUGUCCUGAUUGGGAAACCUGUGGAGGUGGAUGUGGAGUCAUUGGAUAAGGUUGGUCCAGCUCGGAUCAAGAUUUGGUGUUUGGACCCACUCUGUGUUCAUGGAGCUAUCGAUGUUUUUCCGUCUCCCAAUGGUGUCAGGCUUCGUGUUCGGGUGGAAGGGGCGGCUGCUUUCCAACCCCCACCCCCUCCUCCUCCCCCAUCCAACCCCUCGGACAAGCAUGAUAAGGAGGGGGAUGGCUCUGUGGGUGGUCAAAACCAGAGUGACGGAUCUAACCUGCGGUUCACCCAAUCCGAGUGGGAUGGGCUGGCUGAUUCGGAGCAGGAGUUGUUUCAUUCCCAGGCCCCUGCCGACACGGCUCCCCGUGAGUCGGUGGCGAUCCCCCUGCUGACCCUCUGGUGCCUGCUACUGAUGAUGUGUUUCUGAAGAACCAGCCUGUUUCGGCCACCCCUAUUUCCGGGGCCUGCUCCAACCUUUCAGUUUGUCCUAUCUCCCCCACUCGCUCCGGGAUUGAGGACCUGCCUGUCUUCCCUGGUCGUGAUGAGGUGGGGGCUUAGUCUAAGAGGAAGAAGAAAUCGUCAGUGCGCAAGUUCUCGGCUAAGAGCAGGAACUCCUCGGGCUCUAAACAAUCCAUGACUGGUGUUUGCCGCCGCCUCGACAAGGACCUCGACUCGAUGUCUUGCUCGGGCCCCGUCCCGGCUUCUCCCAUGGCUCGUUCUCCUGCGAUCCGGUCGCCCGCUUCCACGACUCGCAAGGGUAGGCGGGUUGCUGAUGCGGGCGGCUCUAUCAUGGAGCGGGCGGAGAGGCGGGCCACUGCUAAGGAUCUUCCCCCUUCAGGUAAACAUCUUGGUCCUUCCCCUUCUUCCUCCCCGACUCGGCUCGUUUUACCGCCCCUUUCCGAUGAUAUCCUUUUAAAUAUUAUGUCUGAUGUGGGAGUGUUGGUAGAUCCCGAGGUUGCCUCCCCUGUUUCUCUUCUUUCUACUAUUCGGGCUAACAAGAUGGCUCAGGCGGCCAUCGCUAAAGCCAAAGAGGCCGUUGCCUCUUCGGCUGCAGUUUCUGUAGGAGUCCGGGCUCAGGGUGCGGGUAUGGAGGUUGGUAGUGGCCAACCCCAGCCUAGCACUUCCAGAAGGGGCCCUGCUAAAAGAUCUAAACCCCGCACAGCUCCUAGCAGGUCGAGCCUCCGCAUUAAAAAUCUGUCUUACAAAUGAAAGCCCUAUUUUGGAACAUUAGAGGUUUCGGUGCUAGGGGGCGCCAUGACCAAAUUAAGGACUUGGUGCGUGCGAAUAAUAUCGAUUUGGUGGGGCUGGUUGAAACCUUUUAAAGAGUCUUUUUCCCCCAAUGAACUUUCUGCUAUCGCGGGCAUGGAUAGAUUUGAUUGGCAUGUGUUACCUGCUUCGGGCCAUCCGGGGGGAUCUUGAUUGGCUCAAAAAAAGAUGUCUUUGAUUUCGUUGCCUUUGAUCAUGGGGUCUUCUGGGCUAGCACGGUAGUUUGUCACAAAACCCUUAAUAUUCUAUGGGGAGUUCAUUGUGGUGUAUGGUCUAGCGGAUCACUCGAUGUCUUCCUUAUUUUUGGAUGAGUUGUCUGCUAAGAUUGAGGCUUGCAAUCUAGCGAUGGUUAUCGGCGGGGACUUUAACCUCCUUCAUUUUCCAUUUGAUAAAAGUAAUGACAAUUUUUCCUGGUCUCUGGCUAAUGCCUUCAAUGACUUUAUUAGCACCAAUGCCAUCCGCGAGCUCUCUAGGGUUGGAGCCCGUUUCACUUGGUCUAAUCAUCAGGCCAACCGAUUAGAUCAGUGCUUUAUAGAGUUUCUGUGUGUCCUAGUUGGGACUCUCUAUUUCCCCGGGCCUCCCUCACCGCGAAAAGUAUCGUUGCCCCCGACCAUACCCCUCUUCUUCUUGAUGAUGGGAUGCAUCAAGAUAGACCUCCUGCUAGGUUCCAAUUUGACGCUUCCUGGCUACUUGUUGAAGGCUUUAACGAUAUGCUAUCCUCGAAGAUUGCCCUUCUUCUUUCCUCAAAUGCUCGUUCCUUUGGUCCUUUAGACGAUUGGCACUCUUGCUCUUACAAUUUAAGCAAAUUUCUUAGAGGCUGGUCUCGUAAUCACGCUGCUGAGGAGCGUCGCUCGAAGGAUCUCAUAGAAUCUCAAAUCUUGGCUCUUGACCAUGCGGCUGAUUCCUCUAGGCUCUCUGACGAUGGGUGGUCUUUGCGGUACUGUGACGCCCCCGAUUCAAUCGUACACUAAUCAUGCACGCAAAUGUGUACGAUCAAGAUCAGGGACUCACGGGAAGAUAUCACAACACAACUCUACAAAUAAAAUAAGUCAUACAAGCAUCAUAAUACAAGCCAGGGGCCUCGAGGGCUCGAAUACAAGUGCUCGAUCAUAGAUGAGUCAGCGGAAGCAACAAUAUCUGAGUACAGACAUAAGUUAAACAAGUUGCCAUAAGAUGGCUAGCACAAACUGGGAUAUAGAUCGAAAGAGGCGCAGGCCUCCUGCCUGGGAUCCUCCUAACUACUCCUGGUCGUCGUCGUUAGCCUGCACGUAGUAGUAGGCACCUCCAAUGUAGUAGUCGUCGUCGACACUGGCUCCUGGCUCCUGGACUCCAGCAUCUGGUUGCGACAACCAGAAAGAAAGGAAAGGGGAAAAAAGGGGGGAGAAAGCAACCGUGAGUACUCAUCCAAAGUACUCGCAAGCAAGGAACUACACUACAUAUGCAUGGGUAUAUGUGUAAGGAGGCCAUAGCAGUGGACUGAACUGCAGAAUGCCAGAAUAAGAGGGGGAUAGCUAAUCCUGUCGAAGACUACGCUUCUGGCAGCCUCCGUCUUGCAGCAUGUAGAAGAGAGUAGAUUGAAGUCCUCCAAGUAGCAUCUCCAAGUAGCAUAUCCAGGUAGCAUAUCCAGGUAGCAUCUCCAAGCGCAUCUCCAGUCGCAUCGCAUAGCAUAAUCCUACCCGGCGAUCCUCUCCUCGUCGCCCUGUAGAAAAGCGAUCACCGGGUUGUCUGUGGAACUUGGAAGGGUGUGUUUUAUUAAGUAUCCGGUUCUAGUUGUCAUAAGGUCAAGGUACAACUCCAAGUCGUCCUGUUACCGAAGAUCACGGCUAUUCGAAUAGAUUAACUUCCCUGCAGGGGUGCACCACAUAACCCAACACGCUCGAUCCCAUUUGGCCGGACACACUUUCCUGGGUCAUGCCCGGCCUCGAAAGAUCAACACGUCGCAGCCCCACCUAGGCUCAACAGAGAGGCCAGCACGCCGGUCUAAACCUAAGCGCACAGGGGUCUGGGCCCAUCGCCCAUAGCACACCUGCACGUUGCGAGGGCGGCCGAAAGCAGACCUAGCCUAGUGGCGUUCCAGUCCAAUUCGGCGCGCGCCGCUCCGUCGCUGACGUCUGAAGUGCUUCGGCUGAUACCACGACGUCGGGAUACCCAUAACUACUCACACGUAGAUGGUUAGUGCGUAUAGGCUCGUAGCCGACUCAGAUCAAAUACCAAGAUCUCGUUAAGCGUGUUAAGUAUCCGCGAACGCCGAACAGGGCCAGGCCCACCUCUCUCCUAGGUGGUCACAACCUGCCCUGCCGCUCCGCUACAAAGUAAUAGUCGGGGGCCGUCGGGAACCCAGGCCCACCUCUACUGGGAUGGAGCCACCUGCCCCUUCAGCCCCCAACUCCGAACAGUAUCACAGGUAAUGUAACAGUGUAAAGUAUAUAGUAUAUGCCCGUGAUCACCUCCCGAAGUGAUCACAGCCCAGUAGUAUAGCAUGGCAGACGGACAAGAGUGUAGGGCCACUGAUGGAACACUAGCAUCCUAUAUUAAGCAUUUAGGAUUGCGGGUAAGGUAUCAAUGACUGUAGCAGCAAUGACAGGCUAUGCAUCAGAAUAGGAUUAACGGAAAGCAGUAACAUGCUACACUACUCUAAUGCAAGCAGUAUAGAGAAGAGUAGGCGAUAUCUGGUGAUCAAAGGGGGGGCUUGCCUGGUUGCUCUGGCAAGAGAGAGGGGUCGUCAACACCGUAGUCGAAUUGGGCAGCAGCAGCGUCGGUCUCGUAGUCUACCGGAGAGAAGAGGGGGAGAAACAGUAAAUACAUAGCAAUCAAGUGCAUAACAGGACAACAAGCAGAGCUAGACGUGUUCUAACUCGGUAGUAGGUGAUACCGACGAAGGGGGAAAGCAUCCGGGAAAGUAUUCCCGGUGUUUCGUGUUUUCGGACAGAUGAAACGGAGGAGGAAAGUUGCGUGUUUGAUAUGUUAGGGGUGUGUGGUGGACGAACGGGCUGCGUAUCCAAAAUCGUCUCGUCGUUCUGAGCAACUUUCAUGUUGAAAAUAUUUUAAUCCGAGUUACGGAUUAAAAGAUAUGAUUUUCUAAAUAUUUUAUUAAUUUCUGGAAUUUAAUUAAUUCGAAAAUGAUUUAAUGACAUCAGCAUGAUGUCAUGCUGACAUCAGAGUUGACUGGUCAACCUGACUUGUGGGUCCCAUUCGUCAUUGACUGAUUAGUCUAAUUAGGGUUUAAUUAAACUAUCUACUUAAUUAGAUUAAUUAAACAUGAUUAAUUAACUUAAUUAAUUCAUUAACUAUUUUAAUUAUUAAUUAAUUAAUUAAAUAUAUAUUUAUUUUUAUUUCGUUUUUUUUUCUCAGGGGUGUGGGCCCUGUUUGGCAUUGGCCCAGAGGCAACUAACAGUGUUUAGUUACUCUAAAAAUAUAUUAAUUAGUGAUGUGGGGCCAGGCUAUCAGUGAGUCAUUUUUUUACAGAGUUUAUUUAACCAAAAAAACAUUAAUUAGCAAGGUGGGGCCCGGUGUCAGGGAGUUAGGGGGGUCAUUAGCGCAUCACUAAUGAGGCCACGUCAGUGGCUAACGGCGGUGAUGGCAGAAUGCGCCGGCGGUAGCCGUUCAGUGGACUCCGACCACUAUGUGGCCCGGCGACGGUUCCCACGGCACGUGCUCGAUGUCGCUUGUCAAUUGUUGACCGCGGCUCGUGCGGGGGCUGCCGGAAUCGACGGGGGCGACGGCGUGUAGUGGCGGCGACGUUGGAGAGCACGGAGGGAGGCGGUUGCAGGGGCGGCCCGAGCGGUAGAGCUCCGGCGGGCGCGCGGUCACGGGACAGAGGCUGGGCACGGGCGCAGUGAGGGCGCCGUGGCGGUGCGGCAGUAGCAGCCGUGGCUACGUGGCGCGCACGGGCACGCGGGGGGAGGCGAGCGGGCCACACGGCAGCGCGGGCGACAGCAGGGGAGCACGGCGGGAGCUAGCGGGUGCAGGCCACAGGCGGGGAACGGCGAGCAAGGGGACCGGAGGAGAGGAAUCUCACGAGGGGAUGUAGGGUCCGGGCAGUGGGGGUCGAGGAAGAAGACAGGGACGACGCAGUCUGGCGGGGAGGCGAUGCCGGCGAGGUAGCGGGCGAUCCGGUGGUGGCGGCGUCGAGCGAUGACGGGGUGGGGGCCCCGAGCACUGGGCACCAGUCAGGAGGAGGUGAGGACGGGGCAGCAACCGGGCCGCCGGCGACGAGGGCGGCAAGGGGAUGAGCGGCGACAGCGAGGAAGCACCGAGCGGCGUCGGGGUCGAGCCCUCGAUCUCGAUCCAGAUCGAGGGGGGAGUGNNNNNNNNNNNNNNNNNNNNNNNNNNNNNNNNNNNNNNNNNNNNNNNNNNNNNNNNNNNNNNNNNNNNNNNNNNNNNNNNNNNNNNNNNNNNNNNNNNNNNNNNNNNNNNNNNNNNNNNNNNNNNNNNNNNNNNNNNNNNNNNNNNNNNNNNNNNNNNNNNNNNNNNNNNNNNNNNNNNNNNNNNNNNNNNNNNNNNNNNNNNNNNNNNNNNNNNNNNNNNNNNNNNNNNNNNNNNNNNNNNNNNNNNNNNNNNNNNNNNNNNNNNNNNNNNNNNNNNNNNNNNNNNNNNNNNNNNNNNNNNNNNNNNNNNNNNNNNNNNNNNNNNNNNNNNNNNNNNNNNNNNNNNNNNNNNNNNNNNNNNNNNNNNNNNNNNNNNNNNNNNNNNNNNNNNNNNNNNNNNNNNNNNNNNNNNNNNNNNNNNNNNNNNNNNNNNNNNNNNNNNNNNNNNNNNNNNNNNNNNNNNNNNNNNNNNNNNNNNNNNNNNNNNNNNNNNNNNNNNNNNNNNNNNNNNNNNNNNNNNNNNNNNNNNNNNNNNNNNNNNNNNNNNNNNNNNNNNNNNNNNNNNNNNNNNNNNNNNNNNNNNNNNNNNNNNNNNNNNNNNNNNNNNNNNNNNNNNNNNNNNNNNNNNNNNNNNNNNNNNNNNNNNNNNNNNNNNNNNNNNNNNNNNNNNNNNNNNNNNNNNNNNNNNNNNNNNNNNNNNNNNNNNNNNNNNNNNNNNNNNNNNNNNNNNNNNNNNNNNNNNNNNNNNNNNNNNNNNNNNNNNNNNNNNNNNNNNNNNNNNNNNNNNNNNNNNNNNNNNNNNNNNNNNNNUUUAGUUUUGUAAAGUACAAAAAUGAUCCCUAAAUUGGUAAUAGAAAUUAUACCACUGCCACAAUUAAUUUGGCACCUAAAUAUAUUAGUUUGUAAUCGUUUAUCAUUUUAAAAGCAUUUAAAUAAUUGUGUUUGCUACUGUUUUAGUUUAUUUAGUGCAUUUAAAUAUUUUAUUAAAUGAUGAUUUCUUCACCAACAUUUAUUAUGGAUUAUUUGACACAUUAGGAACAAUUUAGUUUUGACUUUUGAAAACUUUAAUUGUUUUAACUUUAAUUCAAAUUUAGAAUUUGAACCUAUUUCGAUCUAACGUGGGAUUAUCAACAAUAAUCGAGGUGACGUGGCAUCGUUAACACGGGAUUACUGUAGCUUGAUUACCCGGGCGUCACAAUUCUCCUCCAGUACAAGAAAUCUCGUCCCGAGAUUUAAGAGGUAGUGAAAGGGGGAAGGUUUGGUAACGAAUCUAGCGGGUCUUCUCAUUCUGCCUUGCUCUUCUCAAAGAGGCCGGUCCAAUACAUUGAUGUCUUCAUUUCUCUGUUUCAGGUCAUGAUAAUGCAGUCGGCAUCCUUUCUUCAGGAACUCCAUCGUACUUACGAGAGAAUAAAGGGUGGGUAUUCCGGGAGAACAGACCUCUGCAAGGUCAACUAUCUGGUCGAUAACAUCGAGGGAGGUGUCGGAAGUAACUCUCGAAUUUAAACUUAAGAAAAUAUCGAGAGUAAAGUAAGAAGGUACCAUGAGAAGUUUCCAAUGGGCAGGCAAUCGUUCAAUGGCCUAAUCAGAAGGUGAAAGGGGUUCAGAGCAACGAGAAUAGGUAUUGCGCCUCAUACCAGAAUAGUUCACUAGACAGGUGGUCUGUGAAUUACAUACGAAGUCAAGCGUGAGGAACAACCUUGGGAACAUGUGGUGUUCAGGAGAGUCAGGUUUCGAUCCUGUGGAACUGUGGGUUAUGGGCCCACCAUGUUGGUUAAAAGUAGGAAGGGCGCUGACAUCUCGCACGGUCAGGGUGGCAAGGCAUGUCAAAGGAUAGCCUGUCAGUAUGUCAGCAACAACAUCGGUACCAAGGGCGAGGAACGAAGAGAACCAUUUUCCUGCUCGUUGAAACGAGGCAGACCAAUAGGGAAAGUUCCCGUCCAUCGGUGGUUACCGGAAGUCAUCAACAGUAGAAACAGGGUCUCGCUGACAGAGUUGUACACCGAGGUGCUACCAUAAGCAGUGAAUUAUUACUGCUUAUACAAUAUAGAUCACAAGAAGGUUUAAACAAACCAAUGGAAAGGGAAAAGUGAUUAUCAGGUUUUAAACAGAACAAUGGAAAGGAAAAUGUGUUUAAACACAUAUUUCAAGGGUAUAUUCUUCCCAAGGCCAAGCAGAACAUAUUAUCCAUCACAGGGUAUAAUGUAGACAACUCUUUAGGUAAGGGGGGGAGGAAUCUCAUGAUAUUACCCAUACAACGGUGUUAGGAUAAUUGAUAAAUAAAAUUUAGCAUCGUGCUUCAAAUGUUCCUGUUGAAAAUCGGAGUACCAUUGACAUGCUUCGAGAUAGCAUUGACAUGGUCUUCAGGUGAAGAUCAGACUUUGGAAACACGAAGGAUCCAUCAGGAAUAACUGGUAUAAUAAGCCUUACAAUUUCCUCCAGGAAGAAUGGUUGUCCUUGCAAAAGAAAUUAUAACGAUAGGUCCUCCACCCAGGGGGGGGGGGUGCUAGGCAUGACAUCAUGUUACCGGGUCACGUAGAGAUCAAUGUUACAACUCUUGGAAAUAUGUCCCAACCAUCAUAUCUGACCGAGAUUCAGAUCCGGUUGGUGUCAGGAUACCUCAGACUUAGGAUACCUGAGAAGAAAAGGUGCAACGCAAAUUGACGAGAUGACAUUGUAAGAUUCUCGGGGAAAUGAACUAUGAAGUGAUUUCUGUUAUCAAGAGUCCAUCAUUAACCCAAGGAGAGGACAAGGAGGUGUCUGGUGAACUCAACGGCAAUUCACCGAGAUUCCCAAAAGAUGGAUGUCCACAAUUAAGUGAACAAGGAGAUAACAUUUGUUAGAUCAAAUGAUAUAAGGAAGUAUGCUCGAGGAAAACAUACACAAUUAAACAUUGGUUGAAAGGUGCGCCCGAAAUAUGGGUUGGGUUGCACGACCAAUGUCAGAAUGGUGAUGCAAUAAUCAAUAGCCUAAGAAUGAACUUUCGACCAUUAACUUCAAAGAGAUAGGGUUGCUAGAAGGAAAGAAUCCAAACAACACCGUUCACUUGUUGGAAUUAACACAGGGACCAAGAAAGAAUGGUGAUGGUGAGAAGUAUUUCUAUGUCAAGAAUUCUCAAGAGGUGGAACAAAUCUCAGAACAUUCUUGACAUAAAGGACGGUAAUACUCCAAGGUAAAGAAGAACAAUUGCUGGAUAGCAAGGAAACCAAGGUACAACACAAAUUGUGAACAAGUUUGUGUUGGGGGGGGGGGAAGGCAAGAAUGUUGCCAACGAUAACUCAAAUCAUCGAGGGACAAGGAUGGUAUUUCUCAUCAUGAAUUCAAUUGAUAUCCUGGAAGAACUCAUAAGGUUGAUGAGGAUCACGACACAUUUGUCGACAGAUUUCAUGAAGAAGUAAUCAAUCAGCGACGACAUCAAGUCAAAGGAAUGAUGAAGCCAAAAGUCAUUGGAACCAUGGGUACGACACAAACUCGAACUCAAGCUUGUUGUUUAAGGUGAAAGGGUAUGACGAGGAAAAUCGACGUAAGGUUAGUUCAUCGUCGAAAAUUGGUGCUCCGAGAAUAAGGACCAGGUAGCACCGUUAGAAUCGUCACGACAAUGAUAUAGCCAAACAGGCUAGGAAUGGCGUGAUCGGGUACAAACUCGUACUUAUAGAAGCUUACUGAAGAGUUGUUGAACCGUAGAGCGGACUCGGUUCAGUUAUCGGUGUCUUUGAGUGUUCAAUAACUCCGAGCCCAUGAAAAAUUGUAAUCGGUGAGUAUGUAGUACUUGAUGAAGAACUCAUAAGAAAUUAUGCAGUUCCAAGAUAAUCUCGAGAUACCAGGUGGUAAUACUCGAUGACAGAUCAAACUAGAAGUUGAACUGGGGUUUUGCUCUAUAGAAGACAAGUGCUUAAACUUGCACAGGACAUGAUAUUUAAAGGAGAACAUGGUCAGAACCACGAUUGCAAAAAGGCCAGAUCUCAGAUAUAAGAUGAACUUAUACCAAGGGAAUAAUUGAUUUUAAAAGAAGCUUCGAUGAGAAGAUCUACAUCAUGUCUAUGGGCAUGAACACAAAGUUCAAGGUCGACUCCCACUUCUUCAAUGUAUAAUCUUCCAUUCACUUCUCGCUUUGAUAAAGGCAUUAGUGUUGAAAGUUUUACCCGGUGAAAUACCAGAUGAGUAUGACUCGUGAAAUCUUCCGAGUUCACACAUAUUAAGGAAGGCAUAGGUUCAACCCAUCCGGGCAUCUUACGAACAUAUACCACAAACUUCGGGGUAAUUAAUACAAGCUCGAAAGUAGAGCAUUGUUGGUCAAGCAGAGGAUACAAUGUACCAAAGGCAUUAUGUAUCAGGGGAAAGAGCUCACAAGGUGAUUAAUUAUGAAGGACAUAAAAUCCAACAAAGGAACCGAUGGUCCACAACAGAGCUGGUGUGGGUAUCGGUACUCUAUCAAAGGAAGAAGGAAUGCAAGUGCACCGGAUUAUAGAAACAACUGACUAACUCAAUUGUCAAAUGCAAAGGAAUUAAGAUUCCCAAAUCAAGGGAUCAAAAGCAAUGCUCUGAGUAGGGAUGGAUAAGUUGAAUAGCCUUAGGGUACAAUCAAUGACAAUUGGAUUGGUCGAGAACCAAUUCCAGUUAAAAGAAUGGCAACUUAGCCGGAGAAGUAAUUUAUAAGGAUCAAUGAUGAUUGCGUGCAUUCGCAAACAUAUUGAGUCAACAGACUCAAAAUGAUAAUGACAAGGAAUGUCAUUAAGACUACGAGACUUAUGGGAUUAACCAUAAUGCGAGCAAGCAAGAACUUCAAGAGCCAAAGGCUCCAGAGGAUUUUCGGAAGAUCGAAUAGUAUUUUGAAGACUUUUGUGAAACUCAUGAACAACUGGGGAUGAGCGGAUACUUGACAAGUGCGGGGAUUUAUUUGAAGGGGUAUUCAUGUGGCAAAUAACUGCUAGGCAGUAGGCACGAAGUAUUCUCGGAACAAUAGAGAAAACUUCGGGUAUCUUGUAAUAACAAGAACAAUGGGGAAUGAUCGUAAGAAUGGCAAGUGCAAGUAGUUAUCCAUAAGGAUUUAUCGGUGGUCGGGAAUAGCAAAAGUGAUGGGCACAAAGUCUCGAGAGAAUAUCAAAGAGUAUCUCCGAAAUCUUCUGGUGCAGUCGGUGACCAUCUGGACUGAAGGGGCUCACCGGGACAAAGCAUUUUCGAGAACCUAAAGUUACUUUUUAGUAAAAAUCGUUUAACCCGAAUAGAAGAGGGUUCAGAAUCCCAGAGUGAAGGUCGAGGAAUAAAAGAUCCUAAUACCUCCCGAUGGCGACGUGGGCCCAUGGGCCACACAGCCAUGUUAGUAAAAGUUUUUCAACGACUAGACUCGACUUCGGCCAAGGAGUUGGAAAGGGGGAUUCCUACAGACAGUCGGCUCUGAUACCAACUUGUGACGCCCCCGAUUCAAUCGUACACUAAUCAUGCACGCAAAUGUGUACGAUCAAGAUCAGGGACUCACGGGAAGAUAUCACAACACAACUCUACAAAUAAAAUAAGUCAUACAAGCAUCAUAAUACAAGCCAGGGGCCUCGAGGGCUCGAAUACAAGUGCUCGAUCAUAGACGAGUCAGCGGAAGCAACAAUAUCUGAGUACAGACAUAAGUUAAACAAGUUGCCAUAAGAUGGCUAGCACAAACUGGGAUAUAGAUCGAAGGAGGCGCAGGCCUCCUGCCUGGGAUCCUCCUAACUACUCCUGGUCGUCGUCGUCAGCCUGCACGUAGUAGUAGGCACCUCCAAUGUAGUAGUUGUCGUCGACACUGGCUCCUGGCUCCUGGACUCCAGCAUCUGGUUGCGACAACCAGAAAGAAAGGAAAGGGGAAAAAAGGGGGGAGAAAGCAACCGUGAGUACUCAUCCAAAGUACUCGCAAGCAAGGAACUACACUACAUAUGCAUGGGUAUAUGUGUAAGGAGGCCAUAGCAGUGGACUGAACUGCAGAAUGCCAGAAUAAGAGGGGGAUAGCUAAUCCUGUCGAAGACUACGCUUCUGGCAGCCUCCGUCUUGCAGCAUGUAGAAGAGAGUAGAUUGAAGUCCUCCAAGUAGCAUCUCCAAGUAGCAUAUCCAGGUAGCAUAUCCAGGUAGCAUCUCCAAGCGCAUCUCCAGUCGCAUCGCAUAGCAUAAUCCUACCCGGCGAUCCUCUCCUCGUCGCCCUGUAGAAAAGCGAUCACCGGGUUGUCUGUGGAACUUGGAAGGGUGUGUUUUAUUAAGUAUCCGGUUCUAGUUGUCAUAAGGUCAAGGUACAACUCCAAGUCGUCCUGUUACCGAAGAUCACGGCUAUUCGAAUAGAUUAACUUCCCUGCAGGGGUGCACCACAUAACCCAACACGCUCGAUCCCAUUUGGCCGGACACACGUUCCUGGGUCAUGCCCGGCCUCGGAAGAUCAACACGUCGCAGCCCCACCUAGGCUCAACAGAGAGGCCAGCACGCCGGUCUAAACCUAAGCGCACAGGGGUCUGGGCCCAUCGCCCAUAGCACACCUGCACGUUGCGAGGGCGGCCGAAAGCAGACCUAGCCUAGUGGCGUUCCAGUCCAAUUCGGCGCGCGCCGCUCCGUCGCUGACGUCUGAAGUGCUUCGGCUGAUACCACGACGUCGGGAUACCCAUAACUACUCCCACGUAGAUGGUUAGUGCGUAUAGGCUCGUAGCCGACUCAGAUCAAAUACCAAGAUCUCGUUAAGCGUGUUAAGUAUCCGCGAACGCCGAACAGGGCCAGGCCCACCUCUCUCCUAGGUGGUCACAACCUGCCCUGCCGCUCCGCUACAAAGUAAUAGUCGGGGGCCGUCGGGAACCCAGGCCCACCUCUACCGGGAUGGAGCCACCUGCCCCUUCAGCCCCCAACUCCGAACAGUAUCACAGGUAAUGUAACAGUGUAAAGUAUAUAGUAUAUGCCCGUGAUCACCUCCCGAAGUGAUCACAUCCCAGUAGUAUAGCAUGGCAGACGGACAAGAGUGUAGGGCCACUGAUGGAACACUAGCAUCCUAUAUUAAGCAUUUAGGAUUGCGGGUAAGGUAUCAAUGACUGUAGCAGCAAUGACAGGCUAUGCAUCAGAAUAGGAUUAACGGAAAGCAGUAACAUGCUACACUACUCUAAUGCAAGCAGUAUAGAGAAGAGUAGGCGAUAUUUGGUGAUCAAAGGGGGGGCUUGCCUGGUUGCUCUGGCAAGAGAGAGGGGUCGUCAACACCAUAGUCGAAUUGGGCAGCAGCAGCGUCGGUCUCGUAGUCUACCGGAGAGAAGAGGGGGAGAAACAGUAAAUACAUAGCAAUCAAGUGCAUAACAGGACAACAAGCAGAGCUAGACGUGUUCUAACUCGGUAGUAGGUGAUACCGACGAAGGGGGAAAGCAUCCGGGAAAGUAUUCCCGGUGUUUCGUGUUUUCGGACAGAUGAAACGGAGGGGGAAAGUUGCGUGUUUGAUAUGUUAGGGGUGUGUGGUGGACGAACGGGCUGCGUAUCCGAAAUCGUCUCGUCGUUCUGAGCAACUUUCAUGUUGAAAAUAUUUUAAUCUGAGUUACGGAUUAAAAGAUAUGAUUUUCUAAAUAUUUUAUUAAUUUCUGGAAUUUAAUUAAUUCGAAAAUGAUUUAAUGACAUCAGCAUGAUGUCAUGCUGACAUCAGAGUUGACUGGUCAAUCUGACUUGUGGGUCCCAUUCGUCAUUGACUGAUUAGUCUAAUUAGGGUUUAAUUAAACUAUCUACUUAAUUAGAUUAAUUAAACAUGAUUAAUUAACUUAAUUAAUUCAUUAACUAUUUUAAUUAUUAAUUAAUUAAUUAAAUAUAUAUUUAUUUUUAUUUCGUUUUUUUUUCUCAGGGGUGUGGGCCCUGUUUGGCAUUGGCCCAGAGGCAACUAACAGUGUUUAGUUACUCUAAAAAUAUAUUAAUUAGUGAUGUGGGGCCACGCUAUCAGUGAGUCAUUUUUUUACAGAGUUUAUUUAACCAAAAAAAAACAUUAAUUAGCAAGGUGGGGCCUGGUGUUAGGGAGUCAGGGGGGUCAUUAGCGCAUCGCUAAUGAGGCCACAUCAGUGGCUAACGGCGGUGAUGGCAGAAUGCGCCGGCGGCAGCCGUUCAGUGGACUCCGACCACUAUGUGGCCCGGCGACGGUUCCCACGGCACGUGCUCGAUGUCGCGUGUCAAUUGUUGACCGCGGCUCGUGCGGGGGCUGCCGGAAUCGACGGGGGCGACGGCGUGCAGUGGCGGCGACGUUGGAGAGCACGGAGGGAGGCGGUUGCAGGGGCGGCCCGAGCGGUAGAGCUCCGGCGGGCGCGCGGUCACGGGACAGAGGCUGGGCACGGGCGCAGUGAGGGCGCCGUGGCGGUGCGGCAGUAGCAGCCGUGGCUACGUGGCGCGCACGGGCGCGCGGGGGGAGGCGAGCGGGCCACACGGCAGCGCGGGCGACAGCAGGGGAGCACGGCGGGAGCUAGCGGGUGCAGGCCACAGGCGGGGAACGGCGAGCAAGGGGACCGGAGGAGAGGAAUCUCACGAGGGGAUGUAGGGUCCGGGAAGUGGGGGUCAAGGAAGAAGACAGGGACGACGCAGUCUGGCGGGGAGGCGAUGCCGGCGAGGUAGCGGGCGAUCCAGUGGUGGCGGCGUCGAGCGAUGACGGGGUGGGGGCCCCGAGCACUGGGCACCAGUCAGGAGGAGGUGAGGACGGGGCAGCAACCGGGCCGCCGGCGACGAGGGCGGCAAGGGGAUGAGCGGCGACAGCGAGGAAGCACCAAGCGGCGUCGGGGUCGAGCCCUCGAUCUCGAUCCAGAUCGAGGGGGGAGUGGGCGAUGUGGGGGGAGGAGUGGGGUAGUGCGGUCGGGUUAGGGUUUCGGUCGGGUUGGGGGGGUUAAGUGGUGCUGGGGCCGGUUGGGCCAGUGAGCUGGCCGGCUGGGCCGUUGGCCCAGUUGGCCAGGGGGCCUUUUCUGUAUUUUAGUUCUCUAUUCUUUUAUGUAUUUUAUUUCUUUUUUUGUUUUAUUUUGUUCCUCAUUGUAUUUUAGUUUUGUAAAGUACAAAAAUGAUCCCUAAAUUGGUAAUAGAAAUUAUACCACUGCCACAAUUAAUUUGGCACCUAAAUAUAUUAGUUUGUAAUCGUUUAUCAUUUUAAAAGCAUUUAAAUAAUUGUGUUUGCUACUGUUUUAGUUUAUUUAGUGCAUUUAAAUAUUUUAUUAAAUGAUGAUUUCUUCACCAACAUUUAUUAUGGAUUAUUUGACACAUUAGGAACAAUUUAGUUUUGACUUUUGAAAACUUUAAUUGUUUUAACUUUAAUUCAAAUUUAGAAUUUGAACCUAUUUCGAUCUAACGUGGGAUUAUCAACAAUAAUCGAGGUGACGUGGUAUCGUUAACACGGGAUUACUGUAUCUUGAUUACCCGGGCGUCACAGGUACAAUCUUGAGGCUGCCUUGAUGCAAUUGCAUCAACAGGCUGAAAUCUACUGGCGCCAGCGGGGCACGCUUAACUGGACUCUAAAAGGGUACUCCCCAUGACUUAUUUCUUUGCCAUCGCUAACGGUAGGAGAAGGCGGUGUGGUAUUAACAACCUGAUCAUUAAUGGAGUGCGUUCUUCGGACCAGUCUAUGAUCCUCUCUCACGUGGUAGAGUUCUUCUCUUCGCUAUUAGGGGCCAAACCUCCUUCGGGAUUUUCCAUUUCUCCAACCUUGUGGGACCAUAGUUUGAAGAUUUUAGCCGAAGAGAAUGCUUCGUUGAUGGUUCCCCUCUCUGAUAAGGAGAUCUGGGAUGUGGUUAACUCUGCUAACCUGAGUGCUGCUUCCGGGCUGGAUGGCUUCUCGAUCCCUUUCUUUCGGAAGUUUUGGCCUCAGUUGAGGCAACUGGUUUGUAAUGUUAUCCAGGGGUUUUGUCUAGGAACUACUGAUAUAUCUCGCCUUAAUUAUGCGGUGAUCUCCCUGAUUCCUAAAGUUAAAGGGGCUGAACUGAUUUCCCAGUUCAGGCCUAUUGUGCUGAUCAAUAACUUUGCUAAGUUCCCUGCUAAGGGCUUUGCUAAUCGUCUGUCCCCUGUUGCCCAUAGAGUUAUCAGUCCCUACUAGUUUGCUUUCAUCAAAGGGUGCUUCAUUUUGGAUGGCAUCCUCUGUCUUCAUGAUAUUGUUCAUGAUUUGCGAUCUUGCAAUUCUAAGGCGGUCAUCUUAAAAAUAGACUUUGAGAUAGCCUAUGACUCGGUUAGCUGGCCUUUUCUCAGGAAGGUUCUUCUAGCGAAAGGCUUCGACGGGGCAUAUGUGCAUCAUAUUUUGCAGUUGGUCUUGGGUGGCCACACUACAGUCUCUGUGAAUGGCCAUAUUAGUAAUUUUUUGUUAGUGGCAGAGGCUUGCGUCAAGGGGAUCCUGUCUCUCCUGUCCUGUUCAAUUUUGUAGCCGAUGCCUUUUCUCGCAUCCUUUCUAGGGCGGCUCAGCAUGGUCAUAUCUUGCCUGUGGUAUCUCAUUUAGUCCCUAACGGAGUCACUCACUUGCAAUACACCGAUGACACCAUCAUUAUGGUUGAAUUGAAUGAUGCCUGCAUUGCCCACCUUAAGUUCAUCCUGUUAUGCUUUGAGGCCGUCUCGGGCUUGAAAAUUAACUUUUCUAAAAGUGAGGUCCUGGUUACUGGUGUUGAUGAUACGGAGGCCUUGAGAGUGGCUAGGUUGCUUAAUUGUUCCAUGGGUUCCUUCCCUUUCAAAUAUCUGGGACUUCCCAUCUCUCCUGUUAUGCUUCAUGCAAAGGACUUUGCUCCGGCUGUUUCUAAGGUGGGAAACAGGGUUCUUCCCUGGAGAGGUAGAUAUAACACUAAUGCUGGCAAAGUUGCUCUCAUUAACGCUUGCCUCUCCUCCCUCCCAAUGUUCCUUAUGGACUUCUAUCUUUUAUCGGCUGGCAUUCAUGCCGGUUUUGACAAGCACAGGGGUGCUUUCUAUUGGAAUGCUGCUGGUAACAAACGGAAAUAUAAGCUGGUUAAAUGGAAGCUCAUGUGUAGGCCUAAAAACCUUGGGGGGUUAGGCAUUAUUAACACGUUGGUUAUGAAUAAAUUUCUAUUAAUUAAAUGGUGGUGGAAAUUAUGACUAGUGGGGCCGGCUCCUUAUGGUAUUCCAUUCUUAAGGCUAAAUAUUUUCCGCACUCUAGCCCGAUGUUUGCUGUGGCCUGGCGUGGAUCUCAAUUCUCGAAGGACCUUAUUAAAGUCAUACCUAUGUUCCUGGAACAUGUUAAGUUUAAUGUGGGUAACGAUACCUUGGUUUGUUUCUGGUGUGAUUGGUGGUGUGGAGAUACUCCUUUGGCUGUUAGUUUCCCGGUUCUUUUUUCGUAUUUUCCUAACCCGGAUAUCUCCAUCGCGGAGGUGGCGACUAAUAAUUGGGACUUGGCCUUUCGCCGCUCCUUGUCUCCUGAAGAGUUGAAAGACUGGCAAAGACUCUCUGCCUUUUUCCCCUUGCUCUCGGAGAUGCCGAAUUUGGUUGUCUGGCCUCAUUCUGCCUCUGGCCGGUUUUUAGUUAAAUCAUUGUACUCUAGGCUCAUCGGAGGUGUCCCUUCGAAUAGGUUUUCAUGCAUUUGGAGGUCCAAAGUUCCUCCUAAGAUUAAAAUCUUCCUCUGGCAAGCCUUCAGAGGUCGUCUCCCUGCAGCUGACCAAAUUCGUAAGUGUAAUGGACCGGGCUCGGAGUUCUGUCCUCUUUGCGGUGCCUUGGAAGGCAGGAACCAUAUCUUUUUUCAUUAUGUGUUGGCUAAGCUGGUGUGGAGUUGUGUCCGGUCAUGGCUUCAGGUUACCUGGAAUCCCUCCUCCUUCCAUGAUCUAAGAAACCUCGCCAACUUGCUGGUUGGGGUCACUAAGAGGGUUUUCUGGGUAGGCUUGGGUGCGAUUUGCUGGUCUUUAUGGACGAUUAGGAACAUAUUUACUAUCGAACAUGUCUUCCCAUCUAAGGCUGCUGACGUUCUUUUCAAAUCCUGUAUAUUCUUGCAGCAGUGGAGAUCAUUGACUAAGGAGGACGAUCGGGGAGCGCUGGACCUGCUCAUCUCUAAAAUUCGGGCCUCGACGUCCUCUAUCUCCGGGCAGGAUCCUGAUGUCUGACCUCGCUUGCCGCUGUUUCGUCGUUCUUGGUGGUGGCUGUUUCUUCCCUCUUUCCGGCCUGCGUGUCGUGUUUGGCAGGUUGCCAUGUACCCCUAAUACUUUCGUGUGCCUGGUCCCUAGUUGCUGUUUUUGUGGAUUAUUGGUGGUUUCGCCCCUGUUGGUGUUUGGGCCUGUGACUCUGCCUUGUGGCUUUAUUUAUAAAGUCGGGCUUAGGCCUUUUCUCUAAAAAAGAAGCAUCAACGGAAUGGAGGUGGGCGGGGAGAAUCUUAUUCCAUCUGCAAGAAGGCACCGUCGUCCCUCCUUCCUGAGCAGGACACAAACUCGAGCAAAACUCUUAAAAAAACUAAAAAUGGAGCCCUCUUGUCGGCAAAGAUUGGGAUCCACCGCACUUCCACGGUCCUAAGGCCAAAGAAGACGAGGUAGGCCGGCGGCUGCACGAUGGGAGGCAGCAGAAACCCUAGCGUGUGUGCACUUGCGUGAAAACCCUAGCGUGUGUGCACUUGCAUGAAAACCCUAGCGUAGUAAAGUAGGCACAACAUGUUUAACAUAACAUUAAAUUGGCAUGAAAACAACCUUUUAUACCAAGGAAUACUAAUAAUUGUGUGUGUGCAAUGCAUGAUAAUACUAGGAUGUCAAUAACGUCAGAACGUCCAUUUUUGGAUCAUGGCAAAUCGAAUGUUUUUUAGACAAUUGUAGUGACAUGAGGAUGAUAAGUUUAGUUGGCAAGAAAUCCAUGCACAAUUUAUUUUUCCCCCAGAAAAUUGACGUGCAUGUCAACUAAACUUGUCAUCCUCGCGUCACUAAAAUUUCCAUAAAAAAUGUUUUGACUUGCUAUGAUCAUAUCUUGAACGUUCGGGGUUUAUCAUUUUCAUAAUAUUAAGCAAAAUAUUAGUUUAUUACAUACUAAUAUUAGCCAAUAUAUAAAUUGAAUGUUAAUAUUAGCCAGGAUAUAAUUACUUGGUUAAUGUUGAUGUUGAUAUUAGGCAUAAUAUUAAUUGGUGGAGGGUGCUAAAUGUGUUUAUAGUGUUAUAGAAACGUUUACCGCUAAACAUUGUAGCGACUUAGAUCAUUGGAUAGAUAUGGUCGAACGGGAUAAGAUUCGUUGGAUAUCCCUAACUCGCUCUUUUUAUAUUGGUGUAUAUGAAUAUAGAUAUUUAAAAUAGUAGAAUGAAAACACAAAGAGGUAUGCCUAACCUUAUAACCCAAAAGAAUAGAAAAAUAAUAGACGUGUCCCUGACUUAUACAAAGUGAAACUUCAUACAAACAAUGAAAAAUUACAACAAGUCUAAAUCAAUUCCCGUGUGCAUCCAGUCUCACCAUCACCAAGAUAGGACCACUUGGGAUGACAAGACCUUUGUAGCACCAUCUCCAACAUCAUGGACUUCGAGUCAAAGCCUAUCCUGCCUCCCUUUUGACGCUCAAGUUGGGAGGGAGAUAGAUAGCUGUCCUUCGGCCAACAAAAUUUAGUGGUAGAUGGUGAAGGCGACAUUUAACUGCCACAGUAGGCAUCAUGGCUCCUCCAUAGACACCAUUGAUGAUGAGUUCCUUCCCUAUCUACGAUACAACUUUCCAUUCCUCCCCUCCUCUUCAUGCAUCAAUCCACCUCCACGAUGGUGCCAGGAGCCGAAGACGAGGGAAGGGCCUCCUCUAGAUCGGGGGAACCAACAAACUUGUUGAAGGACUUGUUGAACUUGCUUCCUGUCACCACAACCAAUAAGACAAAUGCCGCUAGUCACCGCUCGCAACUCAACUACAUGCUCUGGACCGGCAUCACGCCAAACACCUCUAAGGCAAUACUAACCCUAGACCUACUAUUAAGGGGAACCUAUGCUCCUCAUCCAGAUCAACACUGAGUAGCAGCGACGGGGAGGGGGAAAGAGGAUAGAGCUGGGGAAACACCGACGAUUCUCAAUAGGUUGGUAGGAGGAGCAAGGGAAAGGGUAGGAUGCUAGCUGCUCUCUGUUUCUUCUAGACCCAUCAUGCAAUGUGCUCUCAUGGUUUUAAUCAAGAACAAGAAUGAGUUUUUCUAAAAAAAAGGGUAAUGUUAUGCAACGAAUGUUCAUAGGGGAUGGCAUUUGCGAAUGCUCGUUAAGGCAAUUUAUGUCGCAGGAGCAUAACAAUUCCAGAAGGAAAUAUGCCCUAGAGGCAAUAAUAAAGUUGUUAUUUAUAUUUCCUUAUAUCAUGAUAAAUGUUUAUUAUUCAUGAUAGAAUUGUAUUAACCGGAAACUUAGUACAUGUGUGAAUAUAUAGACAAAACAGAGUGUCCCUAGUAUGCCUCUACUUGACUAGCUCAUUAUUCAAAGAUGGUUAAGUUUCCUGACCAUAGACAUGUGUUGUCAUUUGAUGAACGGGAUCACAUCAUUAGGAUAAUGAUGUGAUGGACACAACCCAUCCGUUAGCUUAGCAAAAAUGAUCGUUAAGUUUUAUUGCUAUUGCUUUCUUCAUGACUUAUACAUGUUCCUCUGACUAUAAGAUUAUUCAACUCCCGAAUACCGGAGGAACACUUAGUGUGCUAUCAAACUCACAACGUAACUGGGUGAUUAUAAAGAUGCUCUACAGGUGUCUCCGAUGGUGUUUGUUGAGUUGGCAUAGAUCGAGAUUAGGAUUUGUCACUCCGUGUAUUGGAGAGGUAUCUCUGGGCCCUCUCGGUAAUGAUCACCACUAUAAGCCUUGGAACCAAUGUGACUAAUGAGUUAGUUGCGGGAUGAUGCAUUACAGAACGAGUAAAGAGACUUGCCAGUAACGAGAUCGAACUAGGUAUGAUGAUACCGACGAUCGAAUCUCGGGCAAGUAACAUACCGAUGACAAAGGGAACAACUUAUGUUGUUAUGCGGUUUGACCGAUAAAGAUCUUCAUAGAAUAUGUAAGAUCCAAUAUGAGCAUCCAGGUUCUGCUAUUGGUUAUUGACCGGAGAUGUGUCUCGGUCAUGUCUACAUAGUUCUCGAACCCGUAGGGUCCGCACGCUUAACGUUCGAUGACGAUUUGUAUUAUGAGUUAUGUGAUUUGAUGACCGAAGUUUGUUCGGAGUCCCGGAUGAGAGCAUGGACAUGGCGAGGAGUCUCGAAAUGGUCGAUACGUAAAGAUCGAUAUAUUGGAAGGCUAUAUUCGGACAUCGGAAAGGUUCUGAGUGGUUCGGGUAUUUUUCGGAGUACCAAGAGUUAUAGGAAUUCGCCGGGGGAAGUAUUGGGCCUUCAUGGGCCUUAGUGGAAAGCAGAGAAGGGCCACAAGGGGAGGCCGUGCGCCCCCCAUGGGCUGGUCCGAAUUGGACUAGGGAGGGGGCGGCGCCCCCCUCUUUCCUUCUCCCUCUCCUUCUCCCUCUCCUUCUCCUUCCUUCUUCUCCUACUUGGACUUGGAAAGGGGAAAACCUACUCCUACUAGGAGUAGGAAUCCCCCCCUUGGGCGCGCCCCUUGUGUCCGACCCUCCUCCUCCUCCUCCCCUCCUUUAUAUACGGGGGAGGGGGGCACCCCAUAGACACACAAGUUGAUUAGCAGUGUGCGGUGCCCCCCUCCACAUUUUUACACCUCGGUCAUAUUGUCGUAGUGCUUAGGCGAAACCCUGCAUCGGUAACUUCAUCAUUAACGUCAACACGCCGUCGUGCUGCCAAAAAUCACCCUCGACCUCAGCUAGAUCAAGAGUACGAGGGACGUCACUGAGCUGAACGUGUGCAGAUCAUGGAGGUGCUGUGCGUUCGGUACUUGGUCGGUUGGAUCGCGAAGACGUUCGACUACAUCAACCGCGUUACUAAAAUGCUUCCGCUUUCAGUCUACAAGGGUACGUAGACACACUCUCCCCUCUCGUUGCUAUGCAUCUCCCAGAUAUAUCUUGCGUGAUCAUAGGAAUUUUUUUGAAAUACUGCGUUCCCCAACAUUGGCAUCCGAGCCAGGUUUAUGCGUAGAUGUUAUAUGCAUGAGUAGAACACACAGAGUUGUGGGCGAUAAUAGUCAUACUGCUUACAGCAUGUCAUACUUUGAUUCGGCGGUAUUGUUGGAUGAAGCGGCCUAGACCGACAUUACAUGACCGCGUGAGACUGGUUCUACCGAUGUGCUUCGCACACAGGUGGCUAGUGGGUGUCUGUUUCUCCAGCUUUAGUUGAAUAGAGUGUGACUAUGCCCGGUCCUUGUUGAAGGUUAAAACAGCACACUUGACGAAACAUCAUUGUGGUUUUGAUGCAUAGGUAAGAACGGUUCUUGCUAAGCCCGUAGCAGCCACGUAAAGCUUGCAACAACAAAGUAGAGGACAUCUAACUUGUUUUUACAGGGCAUGAUGUGAUGUGAUAUGGUCAAGACGUGAUUAUAUAAAUUGUUGUAUGAGAUGAUCAUGUUUUGUAACAAAGUUAUCGGCAACUGACAGGAGCCAUAUGGUUAUCGCUUUAUUGUAUGAAGUGAAAUCACCAUGUAAUUGCUUUACUUUAUCACUAAGUGGUAGCGAUAGUCAUAGAAGCAAUAGUUGGCGAGACGACAAUGAUGCUACGAUGGAGAUCAAGGUGUCAAGCCGGUGAUGAUGGUGAUCAUAACGGUGCUUUGGAGAUGGAGAUCAAAGGCAAAAGAUGAUGAUGGCCAUAUCAUAUCACUUAUAUUGAUCACAUGUGAUGUUUAUCCUUUAUGCAUCUUAUUUUGCUUAGUAUGAUGGUAGCAUUAUGAGAUGAUCUCUCACUAAAUUUCAAGGUACAAAGUGUUCUCCCUGAGUAUGCACUGUUGCUAUAGUUCGUCGUGCUGAGACACCAUGUGAUGAUCGGGUGUGAUAAGCUCUACGUUCACAUACAACGGGUGCAAGCCAGUUUUGCACACGCAGAAUACUCAGGUUAAACUUGACGAGCCUAGCAUAUGCAGAUAUGGCCUCGGAACACUGAGACCAAAAGGUCGAGCGUGAAUCAUAUAGUAGAUAUGAUCAACAUAGUGAUGUUCACCAUUGAAAACUACUGCAUCUCACGUGAUGAUCGGACAUGGUUUAGUUGAUAUGGAUCACAUGAUCAUUUAGAUGACUAGAGGGAUGUCUAUCUAAGUGGGAGUUCUUAAGUAACAUGAUUAAUUGAACUUUAAUUUAUCAUGAACUUAGUCCUGAUAGUAUUUGCAUAUCUAUGUUGUAGAUCAAUAGCUUGCGACCUAGCCCCCUUGUUUUAUGUUUGAUAUGUUCCUAGAGAAAAAUAAGUUGAAAUGUGAUAGUAGCAAUGAUGCGGACUGGGUCCAUGAUUUGAGGAUUAUCCUCAUUGUUGCAUAGAAGAAUUAUGUCCUUGAUGCACCGCUAGGUAACGGACCUAUUACAGGAGCAGAUACAUACGUUAUGAAUGUUUGGCAAGCUUAGUAUGAUGACUACUUGAUAGUUUAGUGCGCCAUACUUUAUGGCUUAGAACCAGGACUUCAAAAUGUUUUGAACGACAAGGAGCAUAUAAGAUGUUCCAAGAGCUGAAAUUGGUAUUUCAGACUCAUGCCCAAGUCAAGAGGUAUGCAACCUCUGACAAGUAUUUUUCCUACAAGAUGGAGGAGAAUAGCUCAAUCAGUGAGCAUGUGCUCAGAAUGUCUGAGUACUACAAUCGCUUGAAUCAAGUGGGAGUUUAUCUUCUAGAUAAGAUAGUGACUGACAGAGUUCUCUAGUCACUAUCAUCAAGUUACUGGAACUUCGUGAUGAACUAUAAUAUGCAAGGAUAAUGAAAACGAUUCUCAAGCUCUUCGUGAUGCUGAAAUCAAUGAAGGUAGAAAUCAAGAAAAGCAUCAAACGUUGAUGGUUGACAAGACCACUAGUUUCAAGUAAAAGGGCAAGGGAAAGAAAGGGAACUUCAAGAAGAAUGGCAAGCAAGUUGUCACUCCCAUGAAGAAGCCCAAAACUAGACCCAAGCCUCAAACUGAGUGCUUCUACUGCAAAGGACAUUGAUGUAGGGUGGAACCCUAAACGGCCGAUCUUUCACGAAAGGAGCGGAUCCCAACUAAGAACACAAAGAACACGAGGGGAAAACGAGGGAAAACACAAGAGGAUCUCUCAAGCUAACAAGAUAUAGUCACGCAUAUGCUAGAUCCGAGUACACAUAGAGAUCACAUGGUCCAAAACCAACAAGGGACGAUACAUAGGGUAACCAGUUCUUAUCCAUGAGGAGGUCUUGAUGGGGCCACCCAAGAGGGGGUCUUGAAUCCAACAGGGAUCUUCUCCGUAGAGGGGCCGCGGUCUCUCUCAAGGAGUAGAUCCGUAUGGAUGAGCAAAGCUCUAUCUCACAUAUGAGCUAAACCAAUGCUAACCCUAACUAGGAGGAGGAGGAGGUCUAUUUAUAGUCUUAAUGCAAAUGGUGGCAAAGUGAAGGGGUACAUGGGCCUCAACCCGUAACUGGACAUAGCCGGGGGGCGGACGUCCGGUGGGCGUCGGACGUCCGGAAGCUCGGGAUGGUCUGGACGUCCGUAGAUCUUCCGACUUCCAUAGAUUUCGUUAUGUGAAGGAUUUGCCGGACGUCCGGUGUUCCUCGGAUUUCUGCUAUUUACGUUCUGUUGCAGCAGCAGCGGACGUCCGGAGGUGGUCGGUCGUCCGGAGCCUGGGAGGAUCCUGGGAGGUGUCAGACGUCCGGUCCUGGACGGUCGUUCGGCCGCUGUAGCAUUCGAUGGCCUGGUUUCCUGGGGCUGUCGUGGCCUUCAGGGGGCGGACGUCCGGUUUGGGCCGGUCGUCCGGUGGCUGUAGCUUCCGGGCAACUCUUCUUCUUGUCCUUCGCACUUGGUGUCCUCGCCAUCUUGUCCGUUGGAUGUAGUCGUUCCGUGGCCUUCCUCCAAGUACCUGAGCACACAUAGUGUUUCCGUUUGAGGUAGUAGCCAUGUCUCAUGUGACAAAGGUGGUAGUUCGGAAAGGAGUGAGUUCACCUUAUCUUCGAUAUCCUUCGCUCAGGCUCUUGUCAUAGGUCCAAGUGGUGUCGUGGGAGGUUUAGGUGCAUCCAUGGGGAUGAUCGUGGGAUGCUCCGCAUCAUCUUCCCUGUUGGGGAACGUAAUAAUUUCAAAAAAUUUCCUACGCACACGCAAGAUCAUGGUGCUAGGCUAACGGAAUGGGUCAUGUCAAUUAGAUCAUUCAUCUAAUGAUGUGAUCCCAUUAAUCAAAUAACAACUCUUUGUCUAUGGUUAGGAAACAUAACCAUCUUUGAUUAAUGAGCUAGUCAAGUAGAGGCAUACUAGUGACACUCGGUUUGUCUAUGUAUUCACACAUGUAUUAUGUUUCCGGUUAAUACAAUUCUAGCAUGAAUAAUAAACAUUUAUCAUGAUAUAAGGAAAUAAAUAAUAACUUUAUUGUUGCCUCUAGGGCAUAUUUCCUUCAGUCUCCCACUUGCACUAGAGUCAAUAAUCUAGUUCACAUCACCAUGUGAUUUAACACCAAUAGUUCACAUCACCAUGUGAUUAACACCCAUAGUUCACAUCGUUAUGUGAUCAACACCCAAAGGGUUUACUAGAGUCAAUAAUCUAGUUCACAUCGCUAUGUGAUUAACACCCAAAGAGCACUAAGGUAUGAUCAUGUUUUGCUUGUGAGAGAAGUUUAGUCAACGGGUCUGUCACAUUCAGAGCCGUAUGUAUUUUGCAAAUAUUCUAUGCCUACAAUGCUCUGCAUGGAGCUACUCUAGCUAAUUGCUCCCACUUUCAAUAUGUAUCCAGAUUAAGACUUAGAGUCAUCUAGAUCAGUGCCAAAACUUGUAUCGACGUAACCCUUUACGAUGAACCUUUUUUUUCACCUCCAUAAUCGAGAAACAUAUCCUUAUUCCACUAAGGAUAAUUUUGACCAAUGUCCAGUGAUCUACUCCUAGAUCACUAUUGUACUCUCUUGCCAAACCAUGGCAGAGUAUACAAUAGGUCUGGUCCAUAGCAUGGCAUACUUUAAUAGAACCUAUGACUGAUGCAUAGGGAAUGACUUUCAUUCCUUUUCUAUUUUCUGUUGUGGUCGGGAUUUGAGUCUUACUCAAUUUCAUACCUUUGCAACACAGGCAAGAACUCUUUCUUUGACUGUUCUAUUUUGAACUACUUCAAAAUCUUGUCAAGGUAUGUACUCAUUGAAAAUCUUAUCAAGCGUCUUGAUCUAUCUUAAUAGAUUUUGAUGCUCAAUAUGUAAGUAGCUUUUACUGAGGUCUUUCUUUGAAAAACUCCUUCAAAACACUCCUUUAUGCUUUGCAGAAUAAUUCUAUAUUAUUUCCGAUCAACAAUAUGUCAUUCACAUAUACUUAUCAGAAAUGCUGUAGUGCUCCCACUCACUUUCUUGUAAAUACAGGCUUCACUACAAGUCUGUAUAAAACUAUAUGCUUUGAUCAACUUAUCAAAGCGUAUAUUCCAGCUCCGAGAUGGUUGCACCAGUCCAUAGAUGGAUCGCUGGAGCUUGCACAUGUUGUUAACACCUUUAGGAUUGACAAAACCUUCUGGUUGCAUCAUAUACAACUCUUCUUUAAGAAAUCCAUUAAGGAUUGCAGUUUUGUUAUCCAUUUGCCAGAUUUCAUAAAAUGUGGCAAUUGCUAACAUGAUUCGGACAGACUUUAAGCAUCGAUACGAGUGAGAAAAUCUCAUCGUAGUCAACACUUUGAACUUUGUCAAAAACCUUUUUCGACAAGUCUAGCUUUGUAGAUAGUAACACUACUAUCAGCGUCCGUCUUCCUCUUGAAGAUCCAUUUAUUUUCUAUGGCUUGCCGAUCAUCGGGCAAAUCCAUCAAAGUCUAUACUUUGUUCUCAUACAUGGAUCAUUUCUCAGAUUUCAUGGCCUCAAACCAUUUCGUGGAAUCUGGGCUCAUCAUCGCUUCCUCAUAGUUCGCAAGUUCGUCAUGGUCUAGUAACAUGACUUCCAGAACAGGAUUACCGUACCACUUUGGUGCGGAUCUCACUCUGGUUUACCUACGAGAUUCGGUAGUAACUUGAUCUGAAGUUACAUGAUCAUCAUCAUUAGCUUCCUCACUAAUUGGUGUAGUAGUCACAAGAACAGAUUUCUGUGAUGAACUACUUUCCAAUAAGGGAGAAGGUACAAUUACCUUAUCAAGUUUUCUACUUUCCUCCCACUCACUUCUUUCGAGAGAAACUCCUUCUCUAGAAAGGAUCCAUUCUUAGCAACGAAUGUCUUGCCUUCGGAUCUGUGAUAGAAGGUGUACCCAACAGUCUCCUUUGGGUAUCCUAUGAAGACAUAUUUCUCCGAUUUGGGUUUGAGCUUAUCAGGAUGAAACUUUUUCACAUAAGCAUCACAACCCCAAACUUUAAGAAAUGACUACUUUGGUUUCUUGCUAAACCACAGUUCAUAUAGUGUCAUCUCAACGGAUUUAGAUGGUGCCCUAUUAAACGUGAAUGCAGCUGUCUCUAAUGCAUAACCCCAAAACGAUAGUGGUAAACCGAUAAGAGACAUCAUAGAUCGCACCAUAUCCAAUAAAGUGCGUUUACGAUGUUCGGACACACCAUAACAUUGUGGUGUUCCAGGUGGCGUGAGCUGUGAAACUAUUCCAUAUUGUUUUAAUUGAAGACCAAACUCAUAACUCAAAUAUUUGUCUCCGCGAUCAAAUCACAGAAACUUUAUUUUCUUGUUAUGAUGAUUCUCCACUUCACUCUGAAAUUCUUUGAACCUUUCAACUAUUUCAGACUUAUGUUUCAUCAAGUAGAUAUACCCAUAUCUUCUCAAAUCAUCUUGUGAAGGUCAGAAAAUAACGAUACUUGCCACGAGCCUUCAUACUCAUUGGUCUGCAUACAUCAGUAUGUAUUAUUUCCAAUAAGUCAGUAGCUCGUUCCAUUGUUCCGAAGAACGGAGUUUUAGUCAUCUUGCCCAAAAGGCACGGUUCGCAAACAUCAAAUGAUUCAUAACCAAGUGAUUCCGAAAAUCCAUCUUUAUGGAGUUUCUUCAUGCGCUUUACACCGAUAUGACCCAAACGGCAGUGCCAUAAAUAAGUUGCACUAUCAUUAUUAACUUUGCAUCUUUUUGGCCUCAAUAUUAUGAAUAUGUGUAUCACUACGAUCGAGAUCCAACAAACUAUUUUCAUUGGGUGUAUGACCAUUGAAGGUUUUAUUCAUGUAAACAGAACAACAAUUAUUCUCUGAUUUUAAAUGAAUAACCGUAUUGCAAUAAACACGAUCAAAUCAUAUUCAUGCUCAACGCAAACGCCAAAUAACAUUUAUUUAGGUUUAACACUAAUCCCGAAAGUAUAGGGAGUGUGCGAUGAUGAUCAUAUCAAUCUUGGAACUACUUCCAACACUCAUCGUCACUUUCCCUUCAACUAGUCUCUGUUUAUUCUGUAACUCCCGUUUCGAGUUACUACUCUUACCAACUGAACCAGUACCAAAUACCGAGGGGUUGCUAUAAACACUAGUAAAAUACACAUCAAUAACAUGUAUAUCAAAUAUACCUUUGUUCACUUUGCCAUCCUUCUUAUCCGCCAAAUACUUGGGGUAGUUUUGCUUUCAGUGACCAGUCCCUUUGCAGUAGAAGCACUUAGUCUCAGGCUUAGGUCCAGACUUGGGCUUCUUCACUUGAGCAGCAACUUGCUUGCCGUUCUUCUUGAAGUUCCCUUCUAUCCCUUUGCCCUUUUCUUGAAACUAGUGGUCUUGUUAACCAUCAACACUUGAUGUUCUUUCUUGAUUUCUACCUUCAUCGAUUUCAUCAUCAUGAAAAAACUCGGGAAUCAUUUUCAUCAUCCCUUGCAUACUAUAGUUCAUCAUGAAGUUCUACUAACUUGGUGAUGGUGACUAGAGAAUUCUGUCAAUCACUAUCUUAUCUGGAAGAUUAACUCCCACUUGAUUCAAGCGAUUGUAGUACCCAGACAAUCUGAGCACAUGCUCACUAGUUGAGCGAUUCUCCUCCAUCUUUUAGCUAUAGAACUUGUUGGAGACUUCAUAUCUCUCAACUCGGGUAUUUGCUUGAAAUAUUAACUUCAACUCCUGGAACAUCUCAUAUGGUCCAUGAUGUUCAAAACAUCUUUGAAGUCCCGAUUCUAAGCCAUAAAGCAUGGUGCACAAAACUAUCAAGCAGUCAUCAUAUUGAGCUAGCCAAACGUUCAUAACGUCUGCAUCUGCUCCUGCAAUAGGUCUGUCACCUAGCGGUGCAUUAAGGACAUAAUUCUUCUGUGCAGCAAUGAGGAUAAACCUCAGAUCGCGGAUCCAAUCCGCAUCAUUGCUACUAACAUUUUUCAACACAGUUUUUCUCUAGGAACAUAUCAAAAUAAACAUAUGAAAGCAACAACGCAAGCUAUUGAUCUAGAACAUAAUUUGCAAAAUACUAUCAGGACUAAGUUCAUGAUAAAUUUAAGUUCAAUUAAUCAUAUUACUUAAGAACUCCCACUUAGACAGACAUCUCUCUAGUCAUCUAAGUGAUCACGUGAUCCAAAUCAACUAAACCAUAACCGAUCAUCACGUGAGAUGGAGUAGUUUUCAAUGGUGAACAUCAUAUGUUGAUCAUAUCUACUAUAUGAUUCACGCUCGACCUUUCGGUCUCCGUGUUCCGAGGCCAUAUCUGCAUAUGCUAGGCUCGUCAAGUUUAACCCGAGUAUUCCACGUGUGCAAAACUGGCUUGCACCCGUUGUAGAUGGACGUAGAGCUUAUCACACCCGAUCAUCACGUGGUGUCUGGGCACGACGAACUUUGGCAACGGUGCAUACUCAGGGAGAACACUUCUUGAUAAUUUUUAGUGAGAGAUCAUCUUAAAAUGCUACCGGCAAUCAAAGCAAGAAUAAGAUGUAUAACAAAUAAACAUCAUAUGCAAUCAAAAUAUGUGACAUGAUAUGGCCAUGAUGAUCUUGCGCCUUUGAUCUCCAUCUCCAAAGUACUGUCAUGAUCUCUAUUGUUACUGGCACGACACCAUGAUCUUCAUCAUCUUGAUCUAUAUCAAUGUGUCGUCACAUGGUCGUCUCGCCAACUAUUGCUCUUGCAACUAUUGCUAUCGCAUAGCGAUAAAGUAAAACAAUUAUUUGGCACUUGCAUCUUAUGCAACAAGGAGACAACCAUAGGGCUUCUGCCAGUUGCCGAUAACUUCAACAAAACAUGAUAAUCUCAUACAACAACUUAUAUCUCAUCACGUUUUGACCAUAUCACAUCACAACAUGCCCUGCAAAAACAAGUUAGACGUCCUCUACUUUGUUGUUGCAAAUUUUACGUGGCUGCUACGGGCUGAGCAAGAACCGUUCUUUACCUACGCAUCAAAACCACAACGAUAGUUUGUCAAGUUGGUGCUGUUUUAACCUUCGCAAGGACUGGGCGUAGCCACACUCGGUUCAACUAAAGUUGGAGAAACAGACACCCGCUAGUCACCUGUGUGCAAAGCACGACGGUAAAACCAGUCUCGCGUAAGCGUACGCGUAAUGUCGGUCCGGGCCGCUUCAUCCAACAAUACCGCCGAACCAAAGUAUGACAUGCUGGUAAGUAGUAUGACUUGUAUCGCCCACAACUCACUUGUGUUCUACUCGUGCAUAUAACAUCAACUCAUAAAACCUAGGCUCGGAUGCCACUGCUGGGGAACGUAAUAAUUUCAAAAAAUUUCCUACGCACACGCAAGAUCAUGGUGAUGGCAUAGCAACGAGAGGGGAGAGUGUAUGUCCACGUACCCUCGUAGACUGUAAGCGGAAGCGUUAUGACAACGCGGUUGAUGUAGUCGUACGUCUUCACGAUCCGACCGAUCCAAGCUUCGAACGUACGGGGCCUCCGAGUUCAGCACACGUUUAGCUCGAUGACGAUCUCCGGCCUCCGAUCCAGCCGAGCUCCGGAGAUGAGUUCCGUCAGCACGACGGCGUGGUGACGAUGUUGAUGUUCUACCGGCGCAGGGCUUCGCCUAAGCUUCGCGACGAUAUGACCGAGGUGGAAUAUGGUGGAAGGGGGCACCGCACACGGCUAAGGAACGAUCCGUAGAUCAACUUGUGUGUCCAUGGGGUGCCCCCUGCCCCCGUAUAUAAAGGAGUGGAGGAGGGAAGGGCCGGCCCUCUCUAUGGCGCGCCCUAGGGGUGUCCUACUCCCGCCGGGAGUAGGAUUCCCCCUUUCCUAGUCCAACUAGGAAUCCUUCCAAGUAUUAGGAGUAGGAGACAAGGAAGGGGAAGAGAGAAGGGAAGGAAGGAGGGGGUGAAGCCCCUCCCCCUAGCCCAGUUCGGACUAGGCCAUGGGGGGGCGCGCGGCCUGCCCUAGGCAGCCCCUCUCUCUUUCCCGUAUGGCCCAAUAAGGCCCAAUACUUCUCCCCCGUAUUCCCGUAACUCCCCGGUACUCCAAAAAUACCUGAACCACUCGGAACCUUUCCGAACUCCGAAUAUAGUCGUCCAAUAUAUCGAUCUUUACGUCUCAACCAUUUCGAGACUCCUCGUCAUGUCCCCGAUCUCAUCCGGGACUCCGAACUCCUUCGGUACAUCAAAACUCAUAAACUCAUAAUAAAACUGUCAUCAUAACGUUAAGCGUGCGGACCCUACGGGUUCGAGAACUAUGUAGACAUGACCUAGAACCAUUCUUGGUCAAUAACCAAUAGCGGGACCUGGAUGCCCAUAUUGGUUCCUACAUAUUCUACGAAGAUCUUUAUCGGUCAAACCGCAUAACAACAUACAUUGUUCCCUUUGUCAUCGGUAUGUUACUUGCCCGAGAUUUGAUCGUCGGUAUCCAAUACCUAGUUCAAUCUCGUUACCGGCAAGUCUCUUUACUCGUUCUGUAAUACAUCAUCUUAUAACUAAAUCAUUAGUUACAAUACUUGCAAGGCUUAGGUGAUGAGUAUUACCGAGAGGGCCCAGAGAUACCUCUCCGACAAUCGGAGUGACAAAACCUAAUCUCGAAUUAUGCCAACCCAACAUGUACCUUCGGAAACACCUGUAGAGCACCUUUAUAAUCACCCAGUUACGUUGUGAUGUUUGGUAGCACACAAAGUGUUCUUCCGGUAAACGGUAGUUGCACAAUCUCAUAGUUGCAGGAACUUUGUAUAAGUCAUGAAGAAAGCAAUAGCAAUAUACUAAACGAUCAAGUGCUAGGCUAACGGAACGGGUCAUGUCAAUCAGAUCAUUCAUCUAAUGAUGUGAUCCCAUUAAUCAAAUAACAACUCUUUGUCUAUGGUUAGGAAACAUAACCAUCUUUGAUUAAUGAGCUAGUCAAGUAGAGGCAUACUAGUGACACUCUGUUUGUCUAUGUAUUCACACAUGUAUUAUGUUUCCGGUUAAUACAAUUCUAGCAUGAAUAAUAAACAUUUAUCAUGAUAUAAGGAAAUAAAUAAUAACUUUAUUAUUGCCUCUAGGGCAUAUUUCCUUCAUCCCCUCCCUUGGGAAAGAUCCGACCUCGGAUCGAAAUCUUCAUCACCAUGGUAGGGCGAAAGAUCCUUGACGUUGAAGACGUCGCUCAUGUUGUACUUGUCGCGUGGGAGGUCGAUCUUGUAAGCGUUGUUGUUGUAGCAUGCUAGUACCUUGAAGGGUCCAUCGGCUCAUGGUAGAAGUUUGGACUUGCGUUCGUUGGGGAAGAGGUCCUUGCGAAGGUGUAGCCACACAAGAUCUCCAAUGUUGAAUAUCAUGGGUUGCUUGUUGAUGUUGAUCGUGGUCGCGAGUCAUUGUACUUGGCACUCGAUGGUGUGCCUUGUAUCUUCAUGCAUCUUCUUGAGGUAGUUCACUCGGGCACUCGCGUCCAUGUUGAUGCGCUCUUGUAGUGGUAGAGGAAGAAUGCCCAAUGGCGACAACGGGUUGAAACCAUAGACGACCUCGAAAUGGGACUUGCCGGCAGUCGAAUGUCUUGCACAGUUGUAGGCGUACUCGGCGAUAGGUAGGCACUCCUCCCACUCCUUGAUGUUAUUCUUUAUCAACACGCGUAGGAGAGUGGAGAGUGUACGGUUCGUCACCUUUGUUUGGCCGUCGGUUUGUGGAUGGUAUGCCGUGGAGAAUAGUAGCUUGAUUCCGAGCUUGGCGCAUAAAGUCUUCCAAAAGUAACUCAAGAACUUGACGUCGCGGUCCGAGACAAUCGUCUUUGGCACUCCAUGAAGUCGCAAGAUUUCCCUUCAAAAGAUAUUGGCAACAUAUGAAGCAUCGUCUAUCUUGUUGCAAGGAAUGAAAUGAGCCAUUUUGGAGAAUCGGUCCAUAGCAACAAAAACGGAAUCCUUGCCAUUUCUAGUUCUAGGCAAACCAAGCACAAAAUCCAUGCUAAUAUGUUCCCAUGGUUGGUACGGAAUUGGAAGAGGCAUAUAUAGACCAUGAGAUUGAGCUUUAGACUUAGCUUUGCGACAUGUAGAGCAUCGGUUGGUGAAGCGGUUUACGUUGCGGAACAUCUUGGACCAAAAAUAGUUCUUGGAGAGCGUAGCAAGUGUCUUGUCGCGUCCAAAGUGUCCCAUUAGUCCUCCUCCAUGAGAUUCUUGCAAAAUAAACAAACGAAGAGAAGAAUCUGGGAUGCAAAGUUUGUUAGCUCUCAUAAGAUAACCAUCUUUGAUGUCAUAGUGUUCCCAAGAUGGAUGCGUCAAGUGAUAUGUCUCCAACGUAUCUACUUUUCCAAACACGUUUGCCCUUUUUUUGGACUCUAACUUGCGUGAUUUGAAUGGAACUAACCUAGACUGACACCGUUUUCAGCAGAAUUUCCAUGGUGUUAUUUUUGUGCAGAAAUAGAAGUUCUCGGAAUGACCUGAAACUUCA
RNAcentral lists this long non-coding RNA (53318 nucleotides) under Triticum aestivum (bread wheat). Its description in RNAcentral is "long non-coding RNA (TAES_LNC007264)". The record is from RNAcentral. Lineage: Eukaryota; Viridiplantae; Streptophyta; Magnoliopsida; Poales; Poaceae.